This 56684-nucleotide long non-coding RNA is filed under the name Solanum lycopersicum (tomato). RNAcentral describes it as "long non-coding RNA (SLYC_LNC001417)". The record is from RNAcentral. Lineage: Eukaryota; Viridiplantae; Streptophyta; Magnoliopsida; Solanales; Solanaceae.
AAAAAAAAAAAAAGGUUUUAGCUUGAUAAAAAAAACAUUCACUUUUCUUUCAAACUUCUUUCAGAAAUCUCAUUAUUUUAGUAGUUAAUUUCAUAAAUAUACGCUAAUUUUCAAUAAUACCAAAUUUGCUACAUUUUAGUGCAUUUAGAUACAUUCAAAUAUAUACAUUUCGGAAUACAUGAGUCUCGACCCUAAAGGGUAAAAAAUAUUGACAAAAAUUUUAAAAGGGUAAAUGAAAAACUUUUAAGCCAAAACGGUAAAAUCGCUGGUGAUGUAGCGAUUUAGGUGGUGCUGUUAAGGCAAAUCGCUGCAAAAUAUUUUUUUUAACAAAUCGUCGCUGCCAAGACAGUGAUUUGAUAAAUAAUUUUUUUAAAAAUUAUAAAUCACUGCCUGUGCAACGAUUUUACUUAAAAAAAUUUAUCAUUAUUUUUUGAAGUAAAUCGCUGCCUUGGCAGCGAUUUUACUUUAUUUUUUAAAAUUUUGAAGUGGCAGUGAUUUCACUUAAUUUUAUUUUUAAAAAAAUUAACACGUCAAAUUUGUACAAAAAAAAUUCACAGCAUGUUAAUAUUUAUGUCUGGAUGUGAAAUUUGAAUUUGAAAGUUUGACAAUGUGAAUUUUUUUUGGCUAAUUAUAAUUUAUUUAAAAAAAAAUAAAAAAAUAAAAUAGGUGAAGUAGCGAUUUACAAUUUUUUUUUAAAAAAAAUCAUUUACAAAUCGCUGUCAAGAUUUGUUAAAAAAAUUUAAAAAUAAAUAAAUUUUACAAAUCGCUGCUACUAAAGCGGUUUUCCUUAACGCCACCCACCUAAAUUCCUACAUUACCAGCGAUUUUAUCGUUUUGAUUUUUUAAAAAAAUUCAUAUACCCUUUUGGAAUUUUUGUCAAUAUUUUUACCUAUCAAGCUUGGGACUCCGGAAUACGUGCGAUCAAAAUUAAAUCAGGUGUAGUUUGUUUUAUAUACAUUGUAUCAUAGUGUAUUUGCAAGUAUGUGGGAUACAUAAACAAAUCUCACUCGUCUCCCUCACAUCUCGCUCAUCUCCCUCAUAUCUCGCUCGUAUACAUGCAAAUCACAACAUAUACAUAUAUUUAAUGUGAUUCUCAUAUUUCUAACUUGACAUCUGGUAUGAAAUUAUUAAAUAAUAAGAUAAAUAUAAUUAUUUUCAACUAUGGGGAGAAUUAGUAAAUAUUAUAAGAAUUUUUAUGUUAUUAGAGUUUUUUAUUUUAAUUUAUAGUAUUACUUUUAACGAGUAAAUAUAUAAAUAUUAUUUUGAAAAUUCAAAAGAUUCUAUAUCCAAAUGUAUAGUAAACUUUAAGAAGUUUGAAAUAUCAAAAGUGAACAAUAUUAGUAAAUUGGAACAUGAUGGACAACCCUGUAAAACUCAAACCACUUUGUUAGUUCUCCAAGUCUACAUAACUAGGUUUUUAGUUCUUUCUUGGGUAAAUUAUGCAAAGUGGCAUUCUCCUUCUUAGUCUUCUCCUAUUUUAUUUUAUUUUAAAAUUGUUAUACUGGAAACGCGAAUUGUUUCGAAUGAAUUAUAUACGAAAAGGCUUAAAACAUUAAGAGAAUUUCAUAUAUAAAUUUUAAAAUUGUUUAGAAGUGAUUUUGAGCAAAUUAUCUUCUUAUGCUUCGUCAUGCCUUUUUGUCUUCUUUCGGCUUCACCUAUUUUUUUUCGUUAUAGAAUCGACGUACCGAAAACGUGAACUCUUUUGAAUGCUCAAAAGACUUGAAAUAUCUAGAGGAUUUUAUAUUUAAAUUUUUAGACAGUUUAGUGGUGAUUCUGAACUGAUCAAGAUUGUAUAGUUAGUGUAUACUUCAUGUAUACUUGUGCAUACUUCAUGUAUAAUAGUGUAUAUUUCACGUAUAUUUAAUUAAGACAUAUUCAACUCUUUCAGUUUAUCAUAUGUAUUUUAAAUUCAGAAAUUGAUUAACAUGAUGAUGAUGAAUAGGAGGAAGUGGAAGAGGCAAAGUUAAGAGGAGAAAAACAGCUUGAUAAGUGUUUUUUUUUUUUUUUAAAUGACUACCAAAAUGCUUAAAAAUUGAUCUAAAAAGAAGAUUCUUGAAACAAAUUAAAGAAUAAAAUAGUGGGAAAAGAACAUAUCAAAAGUAUUUGCAUCAAAGAUAUGUCAAAACUCAAAAGUAUAGCAACAUAUCGUUAUGAUAUCAAAAAAGAAUAAUGCGUAUAUAUACAUUUUAUAUUGGGAAAAUUGUAUAUAAUAGCAAACUAAUAACCUAAAUUAAAUGGAAUAGCUAGGGUUUGAUUUAAUUGUGCUUCAUAGAAAACAUUAGCUAAAAUUUGCCAGCGUCUCUCUCCCAAAAAUCUCGCUCGCCACUCUCCAUUCUCGCUCGCCUCUCUCGCUUUAUACACAGAAGUGUAUAAUUCUGUUUCUGUUUUGUAUAAAGAGAGAGAAAAUUGUAUAUACACAUGCAAAAAUGUAUAUCUUCGUGUUAGACACUUAAUUAUACAAUUUACAAACAUUUUACUUCAAAUAUUGCAGAGAAAAAGGCCAGCGAAUUAUACAAUUGCAGUGAAAUACAAUUUUCUCUAGCUUUAUACAACAGAAGUGUAUAUAAUGUGUUUCUGUUUUUGUAUAAAGCGAGAAAAACAUAUAUCUUCUUGCUAUACACUUAUAAUUAUGCAAUAUACAUAUAUUUUAAUUCGAUUCAACCAUAUGCAAAGCAAAUUAUACAAUUGCAGUGAAAUAGGCCAGCGAAUUAUACAUUUUAGGCCAGCGAAUUAUACAAUUGUAUAUGUAUAGCGAAUUAUACAGUUUUAUGUUUGCUAUGGAGUGCAAUUAUGCAAACUUUGUUAUAGCAUACAAAUAUUUUUUAAUUGAAAUAAACUAAUAAAAUAUUUUUUAUGAAAUAAACUAAUAAAAUAUUUUUUUAAUUGAAGCUCAAAUUUUCCAUUCUAUUGUAGGUAAACAGCUUCUUUUUUUAUAAUAUAGUAACUAAGAUUUUUUUAAAAAAAGAAAAUGAGAUAUAUAUUUUAAUUUUGAUGUUAUUAUUUUUAUUCGAAUAAUAGAGUCAAUCAUAAAACAUGAUAGUAAUUCCAACAGCAUCUAACACAACCAUAUGGACAAUCACAAGUACAUUAAUUAUAUUCUUGAAAUAUUAUUCCUAGCUAAUCCUUCAAGAACACUCAAUUAAAAAUUAUCCAACCAAUAUAACCAAUUAUUUCUUUAAAAAAAAUCAAUUCAAUUCUAAAAUUAGGUCAAAUAUGAGUAAUUUCAAAUUUAUUCGAGCAUAUUUUAAUUCACAUUAGGCAAAAAAAAAGAAAAUUAGAGCGGAAAUAACCGCCUUAAAUUGGCAUGUUGUGUAUUGCCAGAUCAGUAUAAGAAAAAGUUUAAAUUACAUGAGAAUUUACCUGAGAAUUGGUACGAAGAUUUGCACAAAAUUUUUAUUGAAAAUAAUGACCUAAAAAUAAUUUCAUCAAAAAUAAGAAAUCCUUUGAGGUUUCUUAUUUUAAAAUUUUCAUUAAUCGAUUUAGACUAAAAAGACAAAUAAUGACCCAAGGGGGAAAUUGUAGGAGACCAUUUAACAAGUGUACAUAAAAAAGAAUUAUAACCUAAAAUUGCUAUAGUGAAGAGUUGAGGAAAUUUUUUUAAUUGUUGUUUGCGUUUUUUAUUAACAAAAAGUUUUUCACGUAAAAAUCUGUGUUAUUUUACUUUUUAACACUUAUCUUCUUACAUAAUUAAUAAAAGAAUACUUUAUUCUCUCAAUGAAGAAAUGUUAUACUUUGUAGGUUUAAUUUGUUCCUUAGCAUAAAGUCUAAGAAAAUAAAUACUUACACUAAAAAUAUUCUAAAUAUAUUACUAAUUAUAUUCGUAAUUAACUAAAUGACCAAUCCUUCAUUCAUAACAAAAACAUGAUAUGCAUGUAUAUAAAUAGUGGCCCAUGUUUCAAUUCUUAGAGCUAAUAAUGUCUAUAUAAAGGCUAUAAAUUCUGAAUAUUUUUUCACCAUCAAACAUUAAUUCUUCUUACAAUUCAUUGAUAUAUCAAAAAAGAAAUAUGGGUUUCAAAGGCAAGUUGAUUGCUUCGAUGGAGAUUAAGUGUGGAGGACACUUGUUUCAUGAUUUUUAUCAGAUUAACGCUCAUCAUGUAUCUAACAUAAGUCCUGAUAAAGUCCACCAUUUUAAUAUUCACGAAGGUGAUCAAGAUCUAAAAGUUGGUUCAAUAAUUGGCUGGAAAUAUAAUCAUGGUAAAAUUUCCAACACUAAUUUUUUCAAUUAUUUAAGAUUUUUUUUUUUUUGGUUUAAGGGGAAUCUUGGAGCAAAAAUAAAUUUGUUUUAUCUGAUUUAUAGAUUAUGGAUUUAAUCCUUAGAAGCAACCACUACUAUUAGUAGACAAACUGUCUACAUAACACUCCUUGGCCAAGCUUUUAGGAAAUAAAAAAUGCUUCUUCUUUUCUUUUCAAAAAAGAAAAUAUUUUAGAAUAACGAGAAUUAAGAUAACAGGUUCGUCAGUAACUUUAAGUGUAGAUUUACUUUCUCGUGGGAGAGGCAGCUUUUAGUAAAAAAAAAUGAUCUUUUCUUUUCAAAAAGUAAUUAUUCUUUUAGAAUAUUAAAUAUAAUUAGGAUACAAAGUUAAUCUGUAAUUUUAAGUAUUGAUUUAAUUGGAUAAAAAAAAAACUAAUAUAUGUCAGAAGUGGGAUUUGAACCCACGCCCUCUUACGAAGACCAGAACUUGAGUCUGGCGCCUUAAACCACUCGGCCAUCCUGACUUGAUAUUGAAAUUUCACUCAAAAUAAAUUUUUAUUUGUUAAUUCAGACGAUAAGUAGGAUCUUAUCAUUCUUUUUAAGCUGAUUAAAAAAGCACAAUUAUUUUUAAAAAAAUACUUUUCUAAAAUACUACUGAAAUAAAUGCACUUUUCAUGUUAAACAAUUUUUAAAAUUUGGGCAAUUAGUGAUAUGGUUUAUCCUUGAAUACUUCUGACAAAAUUAUUUUUUUUAAAAAAAAUAAGCAAAUUUUAAAAAAUUGAUCAAAUUAUUUUAGUUAUAUAAUUCAAGUAACACAUGAUUAUUUAUCAUCCUAAUAUUAACAGAUCCGUUGAGAUUUUUAAAGAUAAGACGAUUCUGACAAAAAGUUGAGCAAUUUGAGAUAAUUUGGAAAAGGGAAAAGUUAUCUUGUUCUUUUAAAAAGAAUUAAUUUGAAUUAUCAAAUAAUAUCAUAUAAAUUGAUAUUUCUUUUUUUAAAUGAUUACAGAUGGAAAAGUUAAGGUUACUAAGCAAUUGAUUGAAGCCGUCGACGAUGAGAAGAAAUUAAUUACUUGGAAAGUGUUAGAGGGAGAUACGUUGGAAUUGUAUAAUUCCUUCGCUAUUACUGCCUCCUUUGAAGAGAAUUGGGCAACAUGGACACUAGUAUACGAGAAGAAAACUGAAGACACACCAGAACCUAUUACUCUCUUGAGUCUUAUGAUCGACAUCACUAGAGAUUUGGAAAGUCAUCUCCACAAUAACUAAAAGAUCAUUAACAUUUGAAAAUCUCAUCUGAAAUAUCUAUCUGUGUGAUGAUUAAUAAAAAAUUAUUGAUUUGUCUAAUAUGCGAAAUAAAUAGUGUUGUAUGGAGGUAUUGUAUCAAUGUGUGUUUGUACUCAUUCCAGUUUUUAUUAUGAAUAUAAAUAUAAUAGAUUGUAAUUAGCUAAUGUCUUCUUGUAACAUUAGUAGACAUGAACUCGGACUCAAGUGCCUUCAAGCAUGAUCUUAAAUUUUAAUGUACUUAAUUUUGGUUUGUAUUUGAAUUCAAGGGUUUUUUAGCUUAUGCAUGAAUAUGGUGAUCUUGAUCUUGGAUGCUUGAAUUCUUGAACCUGUAGAGAAAUUUGUUAAUCUAGAUUUAUGAGCUUUCUCUAGCUUCUUGUUUAAAAUUUUAGUAUUUUUCUUUGAAUUAUGACGAUUUUUAUUUAUAGUCGUAGGAUGAUAGAGUUAUCAUGAGAACAUUGCAUCGGUUUGGUCAAUCAAAUUUAAAUAUCUGAUACAUAACUUAUGUACCGUUUGUUAUGUAUAGGGUGAAGCAGUAAUGUAUCCGCAGAUUCUUUUUUUUUUUUUUUAAAGAUUUCCUCAAGGGGCUUCAAUAGAUAUCAAAGUAGCAAUAUAGAGAGGAGUGAAACCUAACCCCUCUAAGUUAUCAAAAUAAAAGGAAAAAUUGUUCCUCGUCACAUAAGCUUAUAAAAAAUUUUUAGAAUUUUUAAACUAGAAGCAACCAUGUAUCCGUGGGUUCUAAAAAUAAAAAAUUAUGGUAAUUUGGAAAACUUUCAGGAUAGAACAUAAUAACCCAAAUUGCUGAGAUUUCUAUACUUUAUACUUAAUUAAAUUCAUAUUUAUUAGGCUUAAAUAAUUAAUCUGUAAUAUUUAUUUAAACUAAUAUAUCUUGAAUUAAUCGGUCCCAUUAUUUAUUGUUUUUAGCUUUUUUCCAUGCUAAUUAAUAAAAAUUUAAAUAUUAAAGGUAUAAUUCAGUGAAUUUUUCCUAUUUAAUAAAGCUAGAAUCAUUUUUUUUUCUCUUAAAAAAUUUAUGCGUACAUUUUUAAUUUUUAAAAGUCUGGUUGAAAAUGAGUAAUCUUUAAUGAUUAUGAAUGAAGAUAUCAAAUUUUAGCUCAAAUUGCCUUUUGGAAUUAUUUGGAAAAUAUGUGAUAUAUAUUUACUUGAUAUAUUAUUCAUAUAUAUUUUUGAAAAUAAUUCUCACUUUCUAAUAAAUAUCUCCUAUUUCCCUUUUUUAAUUUCAUUUAUCUUUCUCCUCCCUCUUCACUGAUUCUUAGAGAUAGGAUUUUGAAACGAAAGGAGUAUAAAAUUUGAAAAUAAAAGAUAUAUGUGAGGAAGAACAAUGUACUUAUUUUUCAAAAUAAAUAGAAUUUAAGUUGAGAGUAUAAAAUAUCUAUGUAUUUAAUAUUCCUAUUAUUCACUUCUGUCCACUUUUAACUGUCAUAUUACAUUUUUAAAAAUCAAUCUAACUAAUUUUCAAAAUUAAAUUAGAUUACAUUAAUUUAAUAUUAUAAAUAAAAAAAAUUAAAAACUGUAUAAAAAAUACUAUAAUUUCAAUUUUUACAUAUUAAUCUGAUGAAAUAUAUCGUGAAAUAAUAGUAAAAUUAUUAUUGUUUGAUUCCAAAAUAAAUAUGAUAAUAAAAAUAGACGGAGGUAGUAUUUCUUCUAACAUUAUUUUCUCAUGAAAAUUGUGCAUAUAUGGGUCCCACUAAUUUAUUAAUGAAAAACCUACGCAUAUUCAUAUAAAAUAUAUGGGGAAAGAAAUCUCCUCCAAUAAAACAUAAUCCGAUAUUUUUAUUUGAUUCGAUAAUUGAUUUAUGCCACGUGUCCAUUAAAGCCGCGUAUAUUUAAGGAUUGUCGAUUGACAUUAUUUUAUCGAAAAUUACAUUAAAUAAUUAGAUAAAAUUAUUUCAUAUAUGUAUACAUAUUGAUCAUUUUUAACUUUUUACGCAAUUUUAUUUUUUUAUUUUUGAAUUGAAAUUUAAGCUCCGUUUUUCUACCAUAUUAUUCAUGCCAUGUGUCUGACAUUUUAUUUAUAAUUAAUUGAAUAGAGAAAAAUCACGUUAAGUUUUCCCGCAAGAAAAUGUGAUAACACAAUAAUUUAUAAUUCAUUAAUAAAUAUCGUAUUCAAUCAAACAUCGUUAAAUAAAUUGAGACGUAGACACAAUUAUCUAUGUCCCUAUGAGUGGUCCAAUUGGAAUAAUGGGUAUUUUGCUAAGGAAUGUACAAUGAGUUGUCCAAGCCAAGGUACAUGAUCAAAGAAUCUACAUGCAAAUUUUAAAAAGAGAUAUUAAUUUAUUUUUUUUUAAAAAAAACGAUCAUUAUAUAAAAUGUUAUUGAAAUUUUAGUUUUUUAGAUGUGAACAUUAAUUAAUGAUUCGUUAUAAGAAUUUCAUUUUGAAGAAAGAUUAUUGUCAUAUUUAUAGGUUAUAAAUUAAGAAUAUUAAUAAUACAUUUUUAAUUAAAAAAUAUAAUAUAAAUUUAGAAUAAUAAUUUUUGUUCAAAAUUUUGAUAAGUUGAUACAAUAAUAUCAAAAUAAUUAUAUAAUGACGACUUGUUGCAAUGCUUAAAAUCUUAAAGAAAACACCAGAAAAAAAAAUUGAUCUUUUAUAAAUAGAUAACAUUAGAUUUUUCAAUAUUCAGAAAGUUUAGCCAUUUGACAGAUUUCAAAACAUUUAAUAAAUAUAAGAGAAUAAGAAUAGUGAUAGAGAAAAUGAAUAAAAUAAAUAUAUACCAUCAAUAAUAACAGAUGCACAUAUAGAAAAAAGAACACCACAAUUAUUUAAAAGUAUAUUAUUUCUCAAUUCUUGUAUUAAAAAGUAAAACAUUAUUGUACUCUCUCCAAUGAUUUUUCUUCAAAUUUAACAAUAUAUAGGAUUUUUCUUUACAUUCAUACAUGUGUACCUUCCUCAAAUUCAAAAUUAUAUAUAUAAUGAUGCUCCCAAAAAAAGUUAGGGCACCAAUUUUUUUCUUUUUGGUUUUCCACCUGGUUUAAGGAGGUUAUAUUAGAGUUCCGACUAAAUAUGAACCACGCAUUGCAGGGUUCAUUUAAGGGUGUUCGAGCCAAUAUUAGAGCUCCGAUUAAAUUGGAAUCGCGCACUGCAGAGCUCACUUGGGGGUGGCGCUCCCAACAUAACUUUCUUCAUAUCCAAAACUCGAAUCCGAAACAUCUGAUUAAGAGUGAAGAAUUCCAACCAGCUCACCACAACUCGGCCCCAUUCUUUUUAGUUUGCUUUAGUUGUUUUACACUUCAAUUGUCCAAGGAAUGACCAUAAAUUCUUAGAAGGAAUCCAAUGAGUUGUCCAAAUCUCCAAUAUUUACUAUCUAUGACUAAGUAGGUGUUCAUUUAGAUUUUAAAUGUUUUUUAUUUUAUUAUAAUUUGAAUUAAAGAUCAAAUUGCAUUUUAUUUAAAUUUAAUUUUAAAGAAUAUUUAAAAUAAUAUUUAUAUUUAAAUAUAACUAAAUCAAAAGCGAGUUCGAAAAUAGGUUGAGUUGCUUUUCAAGAUACAACUUUUAAUCAAAAUUUUAAAAUUUUUAUAACCAAAUAUUAAUUUACUGAUAAAGUAAAAAAAGAAAAAGUGAACUCUAAUUGAUUUUAGAUUGUAGGGUAUAUAUUUACUUACUACAAUGUUUAUGGUUUUCUUCAUAUUCAUAGGCCACAUACAAUGCACACCUUUUGAAAUGAAGGUAAUUGUCUACACCUAACUUCUGAAUUAUUUUGCUAUUUAAUUAAUAAUGUGUCUGUUUUAAUUUAAGUGAUAUUUUUUAUUUUUAAUUAAUCAAAAGAUCAAUAUGUUUUUAUGUUAUGUGUUUUUUUCUUUCAUAUUUUUGCUUAACUUCUUUUAAUCAAAAAUAUUUUUUUCUUUCUUUUACUCCUUUAUUCUGACAAAUCCUCCAAAAAAUUAAUUUUCUUUCAAUCUAAUCUUAUCAUUUAAGUAAUUAUGCAAUGCAAUAGUAGUCAAAUUCAAAGUUUCAAAUCAUACUUAAUAGAGAUAAUUUGGUAAAGAAAGUUUUUUAAAGGGAGUGUUAUAAGUCAAACAUGAAUCAAGUAAAAUAAAAUAAAGAGAUUUGGUUUCACCUUAAAUUCCAAUGUUAUCUUUGAUUAGAUGAUUUAAAGUCAUAAGCCAUCAGAAAAAGAGUUAAAAUAUUUUGAUUUUUGAUUGAAAUUUUUAUCACGAUACCAAACUUUAUAAAGGACAUUUUAGCCUUGCGCAAUUUAAUAGUAUAUUUUAAAGGUAUAUAUGUGUCUAAGUGGACACAUUAUAAUAUUUAUUGAUGCAAUAUUUAUGGUUUCCACGUAGGCACAUAUAUACCUUUAAAAUACAUUUUAAAUAAUGUAGGGAGAUAAAAUGUCAUCCAUUAAGUUUUGUAUCAUAACAAUAAUUUCGAUCAAAGUUAAAAUAUUUUUACAAACCUUUUCCUCUAAAUUUUUUGUUUCAUUUCAAACUCUAUGCUCAGUCAAACACCAUCACAUAAGGUGAGAUUCAGAAAGUACUAACCCUAUGUUUAGAAUUAUAUAUUGAAAACAAAAAAAAAUGUUGGAUUAAUUAAAUUUUAAGCUCAAUUAGAAAAGUGUGUUUCUUAAAAAAAUUUGAUCCCCUCAUAACUAUUGAAGGUUUUGAAUUAAUAUAUCUCUAGAUAGAAUGGAACACUAAUUUUGGUGCAAAUAAUGUUUCAAUAAACCUACACACUAUAAUAAAAAUAACUUUUAGCGACAUUAAAUAGUGAUACUAAUAGAGUUCUGACAUCUUUAUCGGCAUUAGUUAAGUGUUAUUAGAACCAAUGUCACUAAAGGUUUUAGGGACAUAUAAAAAGAGUAAUAAUUGUCGCUAAAAAUACGUAUUUAGCAACAAUUAAGAAUUAAAUGCCGCUAACGUCAUUUUUGUUGUAGUGACAAAAAGUAGCUAAUCACAUUGAUACUUUAUAAACAAUGAAAGAGUGUGACACUUCCUCAAAUGAUACUUUUUUUGGUGCAUAUAAAAAGGAAUUUUUUUUCUUUAAUUCUCAUUUACACCUUAAAAUUUUAAGUAUCCCCUCAUAAAUGAGGAAGAACCAUGCUUAAACACACGCAUAACAAAAUAAGUUAAUAGCAAGUACAAAUUAGUUGCAUACAAAUUAGUAGGUUCUUUUUAUAUUUUUUUAUAAUGAACAUAAAUAAGAUACACUCAAUCAAUCGAAAGAUUUAAUAUUUUGAAUCGUUGAGCUUUUAUGUGUUGGGAAUAAAUUCGUAAUAGAAAUAAUAUUUGCGGUAAUAAAAGCAAUAAAAGCAAAACACAACAAUAUAGUUAAUCAACGAGAAUAAAAGAGAAAUAAUGACAUCAAGGUUUUACGUAGAAACCAUCCUAAAUAAGGGAAAAUCACAACCUGAGCAAUUGAUAUCACUAUUUUUACACUUGUAGGUCUGAGUAAACUGCAAAGAUCACUACACACUCAAAAGAAAUAACCCUUUUUUUAUUUUUCCACUUCUCUACUAUAUCGCUCACUCUCUAUUUUUCUUACAGACUAUUUUCCUUUGUGAUGCCUCACUCUUCUUUUCUCUCCUUUGUAUUUUUUUUGCGUACAUUGAGAAUGAAGAAUUGUCAUCUCUUUUACAGAAAACAAAUGUGCUACGGAAGAAAAAUAUUUUUUCUUUUUCACAACUUACGAACAUUUGAAUAAUAAGAAAAACUGAAAAUAAAUCAGCACACUAAAUCUGUCAAACUUUAAAAUUGAAGGAGAGUUAUUCAAAGUUUGGUACAUGAAGAUAGACCCCACAUUAUGUACAUCUAAACAACAUAAGUCACAAAAUUAACACUCAAUCAUCUCUGUUUCUCAUUUGGUAUUCUUUUUAACUAUAAUCACAGUUCUCAUGGUAUAAAAAUGAUCUUUUAUAAAUUCUUAAAGUAAACAUGACAAUAUUAUAAAAUAUUCAAAAUCCAUUAUUUCAAAUUGAUAUAAAUAUUCCUGCUGGUUUGAUGUUAUUAUUUGUAAUGAAAUUAGAGGAGAACUUCUUUAUUUGGAUCUUGAUUUUUCUCAAAUUGAUCUUCACAUAUUUUGAUUGAGUCUUCUAUUUUUAAUUUGUUUGCUAAGAUUUCUUUUUAGAAAUCAGAUUUUAUAGAAAAGUACAAUAGUGAGAGUAAUUAAUCAAUGUAAGAAGUAACUACAAUGAACAUUUAUUACUUAUCAAUUUUUCUAGGUUGGAAAAAUAUCUGUUUUUAAGACUAAUAAACUAUUAAGGGUAUAAUAAAAAGAAUAUUGUAAUUUAUGCAUUGAAUUAAUAAAAUGUCUAGCAUUAUGGACAAACUAUUUAAUAUAAGGAUGACAUAUAAAAAAAUAAAGAGAGUACUCUCUCCGUCCACUUUUAUUUGUCAUGAUUUCUUUUUUAGAGUCAAACAAAAUAAUUUUGACUAACUUUCUAUGAUGUAUUCUUUUAUCAUAUUGACAUGCAAAAAAUUUCAAUUUAUAAUAUUUUUCGUAUAGUUUUUUGAAUAUCAAAAUUUUUUGUUUAAAAUAUCGAAUUAAUGCAAUCUAAUUUGACUUUGAAAAUUAGUCAAAUUAACUUUCAAAAAGCGUAACAUGAUAUUUAAAUGUGAACAUAUAUAGCAUUAAAAAACAACUAUUUUUAAUAAGGACAGACAUGUAAAUAGAAAAUACCCUAAUUAUACUCAAAAUUACCUAACCUAAGUAAUUCUUCAUUCAUACCAAAAACAUGGCAUGUAUAGUGGUCCAUGUUUAUUUAGUAGCACCCUAGAGCUAUUAAUGUCUAUAUAAAGGCUACAACUUCUCAAUAUUUUCUCAUCACCAAACAUUCUUUCAUAAAAUCCAUUGCUAUACCAAAAAAGAAAUAUGGGUUUGAAUGGCAAGUUGGUUGUUUCGAUGGAGGUUAAGUGUGGAGGACACUUGUUUCAUGACCUUUAUCAAACUAGUUCUCAUCAUGUAACUAACAUAAGUUCAGACAAAGUCCAUCAUUUUGAUAUUCACGAAGGUGAAGAUCUAAGAGCUGGUUCAAUAAUUGGCUGGAAAUAUACCCAUGGUAAGACUCGUAUCGCUAUAAUUUUGUGGAUUAUUUGAGGGUUUUUUGAAAACUUUUUUUAGUUAAAGAGUAGCCUUGGAACACCGUAAAAGUCGUCAUUGAUACUUGUAUUACGAUAUAAUGUCUAUAUCAUAUUCUGUUGUCAAAUUUUAUAGUCUGUUUGGACAACCUUUUAAAAAUAAGAAAUGUUUUUUAUACUUUUCCAAAAGUUAUUUAAAAAAUUUAAAAUUAGGAUAAAAAAUUAGCAUGUGACUUAGAAGUGUUGCUCACUUUCCUGUGGGAAGGGCAUGAUUAUAGUUUGGAACAUUUUACAUGCCCCUUCUUUUCAUAUGGGUAAAAUUAUUUUAUUCUUUCUAAUUUUUAUUAUUACAUAUGGUGUUUUUUUUUUGCUUCGGUUAUCAUAAAUUUUGUCGUUGUUAUUGUUCUUUUUUUCAAUAAUGUUUGUAUGACUUGUUCACCGUUUUAUUUUGUUUUUAAGGUUGCUUUGAAAUAUUUUAUUUGACUUAAGAGUAAUUUAUUAGAAACAACUCUGUUAUCUUCACAAGAUAGAUAUGAUUUGUAUAUACAUCAUCCUCUCCAUAUCGUAUUUGUGAUUUGACACUAAGUAUGUUAUUGUUAAGGUAUUUGACCAGACUUUUAAGAAAAAACAAGUGAUUUAGUUUUGAGUGAUAUCAAAAGUUAUUUUUCAAAAGCCAGAAAGAUUAGGUUUUCUCCAAAAAUAUUUCUAAAAUAUUGGUCAAGCACAAAAUACUGCUCCAAUAUUGACAAAAAUAUUUUUCAAAAAUUUAUAAGUCAUACACAAAGUAUUUACAAGGUCAAACAUGCUAUUAGUCAUGUAAUUUACCAUUGAGAUACUGUUGAUUAAAAAAAAACAAUUUUCACAACAUGCAAUUUUUAAGAAAUUGACCAAACAUGCUAUUGGUUAUAUAAUUUAUGGUUAUUGAUGAUAAAUUUUAGUAGCUUAAUGUUAUUGUGCAUCACAAAGUUUUAAAUUUUUCUUCCUAUCCAUUUUCCAUAAGUUUCUAAUUCAGUCAAACAAUAUUACAUAAAUUGAGACAAAAGAAAUAUAUUUUAGGAUAAAUUAGAUAAUUGAGAUAGAAUUAAUUUCUUUCUUUUUUUCGUAACUUUUUAAAAAAUAAUUACAGAUGGAAAAGUUAAGGUUACUAAGCAAUUGAUUGAAGCCGUUGAUGAAGAGAAGAAAUCAAUUACUUGGAAAGUUUUAGAGGGAGAUACGUUGGAAUUGUACAAUUCUUUCACUAUUAGUGCAUCUUUUGAAGACAAUUGGGCAACAUGGACAUUUGUGUAUGAAAAGAAAACUGAAGACACACCAGAACCCGUCACUCUUCUGAAGCUUAUGAUCGAUAUUACCAGAGAUUUAGAGGGUCACCUCCACAAGAUUUAAAUGAUCGAAAAUUUCAUCGGAAAUACCUCGAUGCAUCGGUUCCUAUCGUGAUAUAUAUUUAUUAACUUUGUUUGUGUGAUGAAUUUAAAAAAUAUUGGCUUGUCUUAAAGCAUGUAAAAUAAAUAAUAUUGUAUUGUAUGAAGUUCUAAUUAUUAUAAGUAGGUCAAGAUAUUGUGGACUGUUGCAAGUUUUAAAAUUUUAUCUAUAUAGUACCACAAUGUAUUAAUGUGUUUGUACUCAUUCCAGUUUGUAAUAAUAAAAUAAUUUUGAUAAAUGAAAAAUCGUAAUUAAUUUUAUUUUUCUCAAAUUUGUAUUUUUUGAAAACAUUUGUUUUUGAUGUGACAUUGCAUUAAAGAUGCAUGACUAUAUUCGGUGGCGGCUAAUAUAAGUUCCAAUUUUUAUUAAAUUUAAUAUUUAAGAUGAAAAAUAUGAAUAUUUGUAUCAAAAGUAUUAAAUUUUUAAACUUUCGACUUUUAAUUAUAAAAUAUAACUGACGUAAUGAUUAAUAAAUAAAAUAUAAAUAUUAAACUCAUCAAAUUUAAAUUUUAUAGUCAUACUUGAAUGUAGUUAGGUCAAACACACGUUUAGAAUGAUGUUAAAUAUAGUAUAUCAGUUAUGUUGACAUUAGCAAUACUUGCAUUAACUAUAUUGAAAUUAUAUUUCUUAUGAUAUUUUAUUUCGUGUAUUAAAAAUAAUAUGCAUUGCAUAAUUUUUUAAAACUAAUAUUUGUUUACAAAAAAUAUCUUUCACAAAUAUUAUGAAAAGAAUGUGAAAAACAUUUUAAAGACAUUAUGUCUUUCAACAUGCGCAAUGACCUAGUCUUUCAUUUUUAGAAAUUUUCAUAAAAUUAUCGUUUUAUCUCUCUCGAUAUUUCGUUCUGAGUCAUUGUUAUAUGAGUUUUGAAAUUGAUUUCGAGUUUCAAGUUAAAAGUUGUAAAUUUUAAGUUUGAAGAGCUAAAGUUGUCAAAAGUGAUAUUUCGUAUCUUUUAGAGUUUCGAGUGUUAGAAUAAGAUUCUGUUGAUUUCAUCAGUUCUGAAUUGUGGAGAUUGGUCUGAGGGAGUUAUCAGUUUUAGAUUUGGAGUCUUUUUGAUUUUUUGAGGUCCUAAGCUAGAAAUUUAUUGAGAUUUUAGCCUUUGGCUUGACUUUGCUCAACAUUCGAAGUUCAGAUGCUCAGAUCGAGAAGAGUUUCGUUGAACCUUAUUCGCAUGCGAAUUGACAUUUACAUGACAUUUAAUAACUUUCAUUAAUAAGAAGGGUACAUUUGAUCCAAUAGUUUGACGGAAAGAGUAAUUUUGAGCCGAAAUAUAAUUUAAGGGUAAAUAUGAGCAAUUUCAGAUAGCUUAAGGGUAUUUUUGAUCAUUUUCCUGUUUAGUCUGUGUGACAGUGGAACCCUAUUGGCAAGCAAUGUGGUAUCCAUACGACAUUUAACAACUUCCAUUAAUAAGAAGGGUACUUUUGACCCAGUAGUAUGACUGAAAUGAUAGUUUUUUGAGCCGGAAUAUAGUUUAAGCGUAUAUUACGACUAUUUCGAUAGUUUAGAGAUAUUUUUAAACCUCUUCCGCUAAAAAAAAUAAGCUCAUCUAUUGUGACGUAAGUAAAUGUCAGUCAAUUAAAUAUAUUUCGUUGAGAAAAUAUAUGAGAUAUAUAAAUUAUGAAUUACUUUUCGUGAAUAUAUAUUAAUUCUUGAGUUCUUUUUAUAUAAUUUCUUAUUCAAAAAGUCUUAACCCAAAAUCAAAGUGAUUGGACAAUAUAUUGUCUUUGCCAGCUUGUAGAUCAAUGAUUAUUUGGAUGACUUAAAUUUUGAUUCGUCCAAUAUAAGCUAAGUUGGUUUUCAUUUUAUUUUUUUAUUAUUUUCCAUUCGGUGUUCGGUAUCAGUAUAUUGAAGUUUGAUUAAAUUUAAAUUUGCAUAGAAAAUAUUCACGUUGAGGGGGCAAAGCGCUACUUUGGAACUCGAACCUGACCUUUUGAUUAAAGAUAAAGAAGUACUUAUCACUCUACCACAAGUCCACGGCCCUUAUUGAUAGCUAAGUUGAUUUAGCUGAUUUUACUUUUUAACUACCUUCAACUUUUCUAAUUCAAUGGCGCUAUGAUUGUGUCCAUCUCUAAUUAUUACUGCAAGUGACAACUCAAUUUGCCUUAUUGAUCAUUUGAAUAAGGACAAAUCAACUUAUAUGAUUUUAUAACUAUUAUCCGAUGUUUAUAUUGAAGCCUGAUUAUUUUAGAUUUAUGAUGUAAAAGCUCUCUAUAAAAAAAAAAUUAUACCGUAAGUUCGAACACAAAAUUCCUGAUCAAAGAAAGAGUAACAUCAUUUGAUUUACUAAAAUGGGUUGUGGUACACUGGUACACUGAUGGGAGUGCUUCACUCUUAAUCAGAGGUCUCGGGUUCGAGCCUUGGGUAUGGACAUUAACAAUGAUAAUGUGAAUAACCAACUAAGAAUAAGCUUGAAUGAUACUUUUGGUAUUAAAGUAAGUGAUAGUUUGCUCCUAGGUUAUGAUUUGUUUUGACUCGUUCAAUUUGACUUAGUUUGCUCAUUUUUUUUACCCCUAGUUCAUAUCUAUUAUUUGUAUUGCUAUUUCGUGAAUAUUUACAUAUUUUUUGCGUCAAAAAUAUUAAAUCUAGAUGAAGUUAAUAUUGAUCAACACUCUAUAUUCAAUAUAACAAUUGAAAUAUUUUACAAAAAUUAUAUAUGUAGCAAUAAUAAUACAUAUUUAUGAGCAUUUAUAAUCAAAACACUCUAUGUAAUUAUCGGCUAAAGAUUUCAUCGACUCUGAAUAAAAUGACAUCACAAAGAGGAUCCCGAUUAAUCUUACAAAUUUGUUGCAAUACUAUAGUAGAGUCAAGUGGGCUAAUCUGAUGAAUUAACAAUAAUACUUGGGCUGAGCCCAACCCAGAAAGCAAGACACAUUUUCAGAAACAUUAAUAUAAGCCCAUAAUUUUCCAUUAUUCUGGGUGCAUGACUAAAAUCACAUACCAUUUUAAAAAUUAAGAAACUUUCUUUUCGGACACAUUUUUAUCCUUUUACAGAUACAUCUCUCUCCUCUUAGAUACAUCUUUAUCCCCUCUCAAUACGUUCAUCCCCUCUCAGAUACAUCCUUAUCUCUUCUAGGAUACAUCCAUAUCCCCUCUCGGAUACAUUUCCAUCCCCUUUCGGACACAUCUCUAUCUCCCUUUUGACGUAUCUCUCCCCUCUCGGAUGUAUUCAUAUACCCUGUCGGAUACAUCUCUUUCAUAAUUGUAUCAUUCGCGAUUCGUGAGUUAUGUAUUUGCAGGUUUCCUGAUGUAUUCGAGAUCCUAUAAUUUUAAAGAAUUUUUGUAAUUUAGAAGAAAAAUAAAAAUAGAAUAUAAUUAACUCUCGAUACUGUGAAAUUUUAUGAAUUUUUUUUCUUUUGAAGAAUAAGAGUUUGUCAAUAUUUGUUAGGGAAAACUGAAUAAUUAGACAUACUUCACUAUCAUAUAUAACUAUUACCUAUACUUUUAAAAUAUUAUGUAUUUUGCCACUAACUAAGAGUUACUUAUGUAUCUUAAUCUUGGAUAAAUGUAUUUUUUCUACCAGAUAUAUACACAAAAGUAGGAAGAGAGGCGAUCGAGAUUGAAGAGGGAGGCAAACUUGAUUCAUAUGUAUCCUAGAUAUAUGUGAAUCACACUAGAUACAUGUCUGGGAAUGGUGAGCGAGAUGAGAUCGAGGGAGGCAAGCGAAAUUUGUUAUGUAUCUCAGAUUCAUGCGAAUUCAUUUGGAUACGAUUUAUUUAGAACAAAUUACAUCUAAAGUUGACCUCAUGUAUCUGAGAUACAUAUAUCUUGACGUAUUUAGAGGCACCAAAAUCGUAUAAGAUACGUAAUAUUACAAAUUAGAAUAUGUCUAAGUAUUUAACUCCUAAACUAGUUGAAUUUAUCUAAAUUCCUUUUUUUUUUAGUAGAAUUUGUUGUAAUUUUGAGAUUAAGGUGUUUCUAAAGCAUUUUGAUUGAAUAUUUGUUUUUUAGUUUUACAUAGAUUUUGACAAUUAAAAUACAUUAUCAAAUUUUACUUUAUUUUAAUAUUUAGUCAUAUAACUAAUACUUACUAAACUUAUUUUAGCAUGAUUUAUUACUUUAAAUUAUGAUCAAUUUCAUUAUGACUUAUUAAUUUGCAAUAUUUGUUUUACGAGAUUUUUUUGUUGUUGGAUAUUUUAGUGUCAUUAAUCAUAUCAUAUUUUUUGUUAUUUUCUUGAUAAAUAACUUAGAUAGUUGCAUUUUUGUAAGACUAAAGAAAUAUUUAAAAUACAAGGAAAUUAUAUGUUUGUAUGAAUAUUUUAUCGAAAAAAUUCAAAGAAAUUUGAAGUUGAAAAACCCGAGUUUUAUUGGUUUGGUUUAGUUUAUAAAUUCAAAAAUCUGACACAAAUAGUUUGAUUUGAUAUUUGAAAAAUUCCAAACCAACCCGAUCAUGUACACCCCUAGUUUCGACCCAUCCAAGUAUGAGUUGGGUCAAAUGGGCUAAAAGACAAGUUGAGUUUUAACCGAUCCAAUUUGAUCCGAUUAAUCUCAACCAUACUCCUGAGCCCCUCAAUCGCAUAUCUACUACUUAGUCAAGCCCUUAGCUACUUCUGUAUCUUAGAACAACCAUUCUCUUGUUUUAUAGUCUUCAAAUCUAUGAAAAGAGGAAGUUAGGAGAGGAUUCUAAAUAAUUCGAUCGAGCCGAACAACAAAAAGAGAUAAUAUGUUUCUUAGCUUAGCUUAGCUUGCCAUAAACCUACAGGGAACAAGAUUCAGAUCGAAGACAUUCCUUUCUUUCUUUUAUACCUCUCUCUUCUUAGUUGCUCUUCUUUCUAGGGAUCUAAUGACCGUAGACAGCUGACCCGGUAAAUCAUCUAACUUUGUGUAGCUGAAGGUUGCCAAAUCGUAUUGUUAAUUUCAAUCUCGACUCCAGGAAAUUUAAGAAGAAAAAAACUAAUGAAUAGAUAAAUCUUAGAAUAUAAAAUAGAUAUUGUUCCAUGCUUCAAUAGAAGAACAUACAUUACAUCAAUGCAAAUAAAGAGUCUUAAAACGAGUUGAAAUUGAAAAUAAAAUCGGGCUCGAAUUUCAAAUGAAGAUUCUUUUAAAAUGGAUUAAGACUUGAAUCAAUUGAAAUUGAAUCCAAUAAAAUUAUCUUGAUCCCAACCCAUAAAAUUUUAAACUAGUUGACCGAAUUACCUAUAUUUGAGCUCAUUUUGACACCCUUAGGUAUGACCAUAAAAUAAAUAGUACUAAUUAUUUCUCGAAUAACUUUUUAAACACCAAACACCAACAUGAAUUAUAGUGCAAAUAUGAGACGGUUCUAUUCUGGAUAAAACGUUUCGAAUUCAAACUCCGUGAAUAAAGAAAAUCAUAUCGGGAGUUCCUCUCCAGAAUGAACAUUAUAAUGUACGAUUCAAAUUUAACUGAGACUUUAAUGUGAACUUUAAACACCGUAUUGGAGAAAUAAAACACCAAGAAAAAAUCAAAAACAGCUAGUAUUUGAGAAUCGUCAUUGUUGGGCUCGUGCAUAUCAUCAAUAGUUAAUAAUGUCUGCCAUUUCACUAUUAUUAAAUCAUUUAUUGAUCUAUCAUAAUCCUAACUAAAAAAACAAAAAGUAUUUCAUCAACAUCUACUUCCAUUAAAAAAAAAUUGAAAAUGAUUUCUCCAACUAAUUGCCUCAAUUAUCGUUUUAUUUUAUGCAAAAUAACAUUGUUAAGUCAAUUAUAUAUUUUUUUUAUAGUAAUAAAUUGAAGUGUCAUUCUCUUGUUUAUUUAGGGUAGUUAGCCCAUAUCUUGAUAUGUCGGAGCCAUCUAGAUAUAAUAUUAUCUUUGGAAGAAAAAAAAUUAUUUAGAUAAUUUUCCCUCUUUUUUUAUUAUUUUAUUGUUUAAUAGUAUUUAAAAAAUAACAUUAUAAAGAUCUUCUUUUUGAAAUUCGAAGUCAAGAUCUUGAGAUUAAGGAUAAGAGAAUUGAUCUUAUCAACCACACUAUAUUUCUCGAUACUGAUAAACAUGAUAUUAAGAUAUUAAACUAAUAAAAAACGAAGGCGAAUUCAAUAUUUGAAUUUAAUGUAUAAAUUUUUUUAAUCUUUGAUGUUCUUAUUAGAAUUAAUGAGUUUAUUGAACUCUCAAUAUCAUGGUUUUGGAAUAUAACAACUUUUUUUGGAAUAUACUAUUUUUCUUAAACGUAGGAGUGAUAUAAUUUUUCCCCAUAUUUAUUUAUGUUAUACAUAAACACUAGGUUCAAUUAUUUUAUUUUUCCAUAAAUGUGUUAUGUUGUUAGGUCAACCAUAAAUAUAAUAUCUGCCAAAAAGUGGUUAAACCAUACUGAAGUAUUUAAUAUGUAGGGAAUGGCACCUCCGUUUUGUCAAUCAUCAUUCAGGGACGAAGCUAGAAAUCAAAAUAUUAUUUUAUUAAAUUUGAUAGUGUUAAUUAAUUUUUUUAUUAAUAUCGACAAAUUUUUUAAAAAAUAUUAAGUUAUAUUACACCUAAUGUUUAAAAAUUAUAAAAUUCAAAUUUUAACCUUUGAAUUCGAUUUUUUUAUAUCAUAUUUAUCAUCGUUUAAAUAUACUAUGAUCCACAUUGACUCAGCACACUUCACAAAAAUUUCCCUUUAGGUUAUAGUUCCAUAUUUAGGCCAAAAAUAUAAGUACGAUAUUAAUUAGUGUUGCGCCUUAUGAAAUAUUUUAUUUUUUUCGAAAGAAAAAUAUGAACUUAAAUGUGUAUUAGUUCUUUAUCGUCUUGACAUGUCCUUAUCAAUCUAUCCUCCAAUCAUAUAUAUCACAUAUAAGAAAAAAUAAUGUAACCAAAGUAUCCACCUAAAAAAGGCAAUAAAUAUGCAAUAUUAACAUCGAAUGUUAAAAAUAUUUAUUUUAUUUAUUUUUAUCUCCUUCGUAAGAGCUCACACUCUUUCUGUUUCACUAUGAUGACUCGAACUCACAAUCUUCAAAAUUGAAAGCGAGGAAUACUCACUUCUAUUCGAGCAAUUCUCUCUUAUUACUAUUACAAUUAAUUAAUUAUGAUUAUUUUUUAGUAAUAAUCAAUUAAAUCCUCGCGUGUACCACUCCUGAAAGUUCAAAGGUGCAUAGUAGGGUAACAACAACAAAUCAAGUGAAAUUCAACAGACUCUAAAGAGUUUGAAAGAAUGUACGUAAAUAUUAUCACGAUUAAAAAUGAUUUAUUUUUGAAAGUUAUAUAUAUAUAUAUAUAUAUAUAUAUAUAUAUGGCAAAGUUUAAUAUUGUUUCUCCAUAGAUUGAAGUUCUAAAAGAAAUUGAAUGAAUUUUUUAAUUUCAUUUACCAACUCCAACUAGUGUUAGAAUAAAUAAUGUAAAUCAAUUAUUGUGGUGGACAACUUAUGUAUGUGAAUCAUGUGGGAUGAUAUUUUACAAAUAUGUCCACCGGCCACCACAUGAUAUAGUACGAACCGUUGAAUUAAUAUUAGAUUUAAUUUGUUUAUUUUAUUUUAUUUAUUUUAAAUAAUAUUUUUAUUUAUAAUAAUUUUUUUGAUUUAAAUUUCUACGUGACAUAUUUAAAUGAUAAAAAUUAAAAGAUAUUUUACUAUAUUUAAUGUAUUUUAACUUAAGACAAUAUAUUUAAUCUGACAGAAAAAACUGAAAUGACUAACAACUGUAUGCGUCUUAUCAUAUGGGGUUGCUCCUCCAAUUGGGCCUUAGGUUGUGAAUCGAUAUUAAUCGAACUUUAAUAUGAACAUUAACAUAUGGAUCUGGAGGAAUUCAAGAAUUUUCUGUUGGAAGUAAAAAAGACGGGAGUAACAUUACAAAGCAUUAUCUAUGAACAGAGCUAAAUUAAAAUUUUAACUUUAUGAAUUCUGAAUUUUAUAAUAACGAUUUUAAGUGUUAAUGCUUGAGUUAUAAAUCCGCAUACGAACUAUAAUUGUAUACUUGUUCAAGAAAAUACAUGAUAGAGGACAUGUAAGGGGUAAAAUUAGCAAAUUUAUAUAGUAGUUUGAAUUUUUAUAUUAUAUUAUAAUGUAUAGAUAUGAAUUGAUUAAUUCUACUAGAAGAUAAGAUUAGUGAAUUGCAUGCGUUUGAGUGCUAUCCUAUUUCUUUGCUUAUUUUACAAAUUAAUUAUCAAUUGGUAAUAAAAAUAUAUAUAGUUACCAAAAAAAUAAAAUAUUUAAUUGGUCACAUGAUAAGUUUAGAUAUUCUAUAGUUUAUUGAUAAUAAUAUAACUCAAAGGGCCUAACCAAAAAUUUUGUUUGAACCUUCAAGUACUUGAGCUGAGUUUUUACGGUAUUUAUUUAUAUAAUAUAAUAUUUUUAAAUAUUCGAUAUGAUAUUUUGUUACUUAUAUAAAAAAAUAUAAAAAUAUUAAAUAUGAUAUAUAAGUAUAUAAUUAAAUAUACAAUUAAUGUGUAUUAUUAAAAUGUUGAUAAAUUAACUAAUUAAUAUUUAUAGAGAACUGAUUAUUUUAGAUGCUGAAGUUUUGACUAUUCUAUUUGAUCGAAAUAUCUUUUCCUGAAUGAUUAACGAAUAAAUUAAUUUGAAAUGAAAACUUUCGUAUAAAAAAAAGGAAAGAAAAAAAAAGUGAAAUCAAACACUUUUGAUUAUCAUUUUAUUAUACAACAAAAUAUUAAAAUCAAACUACCCUAUUUUAAUUGAUAUAUCAAUUUUGUGUAGGUAAUAAAGUAAGAAAAUUUAUUUACACUUUAUUUUGAAUAUUCCUAUAUAUAAGGUGUUAAUACUUAUAGUAUAAAAUAGAAACAUUUCUAAGAAAAAUAAAAAAUUAAGUUAAAGACGAAUAAAUUAUAAUUAUAAAUUUAUUAUUUAAAAAAAUUAAAAUCAAACUUAAAACUACCAAAAGAUAUUAGAUAGUACUUAAUUAUUUAAUAUUUUAAAAAUUAAAAAUAUUUAAAAUCAAUAUUUUUUAAUACGUAUCAUGCUCACUCUAUGCACGUAAAGCAUCUUCCUAGUAAUCACCAUAAUUAAUAUCCAUUAUUGCUCUCGAAAACAUGUCCCAAUUUUUCGAAUCCAUAAAGAAGAAAAGCAAAAAUAAUAUAUAUAUAUAUAUAUAUAUAUAUAUAUAUAUAUAUAUAUAUAUAUAUAAUCGAUUAUCUUUUGUUCAUUUAAAAAAAAAAUUAUUGUCUAUAUUAAUUAUUUCCUUUUUUAAAAUUUAUAUAUCAUAAUUAAUAUCCAUUAUUGCUCUCGAAAACAUGCCCCAUUGUGAAAUAAUUUAAAUCCACAAAGAAGAAAAACAAAAAUAUUCGUUUUUUAUUGGUCAUUCUGACGUAUUUCUAUAUAUAUUUAAUCAUUUAUUUUUAUCCAAUAUUUUAAAAAUAAAAUUUCUCUUCUAUAGAAAAAUUGAUUUUGUUUUCUAUAUUAAUAUAUUAUUUACUUUAUUUUUAUUUAUAUAUCAUCGUUAUUAAAAAUAAUUACAAUUACCAUUAUUGCUCUCGAAAACAAGUCUUAUUGGUGUUCAUUUUAAUUUAUUUAUUCAAUAUUUAAACAAUAUAUUAUAUUGUCUAUAUUAAUUAUUCUCUUAGUUUUUAUUUAUAUAUCAAUUCUUAGAUGUAUCUUGCAUAUAAGAGUCCCUUUUUGUUUCCUAAUAAUAGAUUUACAUAAUUAAUAUGUGUAAUUCUUCAUAUUUAAUUGUAUAAAUUAUGUUUUGGUUUUUAUUAUCAAAAUUACUCAUACAAACGAAAAAUUAUAGUAAUAUUUUUUAAUUAUUCCAACAUAACCUUAUAUAUGCCAAAAACUAUUUCUUACUUCAUAAAUAAAGACUUACUUUUUCUAUUAGUAAUAAAAAUUCAUAAUUUUAAUUAAAAAAGGUCAAAGUAUCAUAAUAUUAAAAAAUUUAAAAUAGAUUUAGGUUGCUAAUUUAGAGAGUAAGGUAUCAAAAAUUAUUAAUUCAGACUAAAGAAGAAACGCCAACUUUUUAAAGAUAUUUCGAUGUAUUUUAUUUUAAAAUCCCAAAAUUUAUUUUUUUAUUUAUAUUUUGUUAAACUUUUGUAUCAAGUUAUCAAUAAUCUUUUAAAAUAAUUAUUUUAAUUACGAUUUGACAAUAACAAAUCAAUUGGUCAAAUAGCAAUCACUAGACAGCUAGAUUAUAAAAAUAAAAUAAAAUAAAAUAGGGCAAUGACCUACUAUAUGGGGUCAAUCCCAAUAAAAACUGAAAAACAUGAUCCAUUUUAUUAGCUCUAAAUAGAUACUCUUUUUAUUUUCAUUUUUGGAAAGUAAAAUAUAAUUUUCCCUCGGUUUAUAUUUAUUUGUCUUUUAUUUUUAAAAUAAAAUUUUAUUUUACUUAUCACUCUUUUAUAUUAAGAAAAAAUAAUUUUUUUUUAAAAAAAACACAAUAUGUCAAUAAUUAUUUUCUUAAGAGUAAAUCAAAUCAAACAGUCACGGAUAAAAAUGAAGUAGGAAGUGUUUUUGUUAACUUAUUCUUAAUAUAAAUAUAUUUAAAUAAAGUGUAUGACUUAGUAAUUUUUUAUUAAAUAAAAUCUUCUUUAUUUAAAUGAAUAUCAAAUUAAAAACCAUCAUUGAUAUCUUUUUCGUUAUGUAAAAUAUUAUUUAUUGCAAAACAAAAUAAAAAUAUAAAAAUAACAUUUGUUAUAAAAUAGAGGAGAAAUAUAUAAAAGUAAUUGCUUCCAAGUCAGGAUAGAUAUAGCUGUUUUUGUAUCGACGACUAUAUAUAUUAUACAUUAUAAAUAUAUAGAGAAAAACAAAUGCAUAAAAUAAGGAAAUUAUAUUUAAAAAAAUAAUAAUAUAUAACGCAACUUUGUAUCUUUGGGUUUUCAUUAUUUUUUGUAAGAUUUUUUUUCUAAUAUAUUUUUUUCAAAUCAAUUUUGAUAUAUUUUAUUUGAGUCAGAUGCGUAUUAAGGAUUUUGAUAAGAUGAUGGAUAUAUAAAAAAUUGAUUUAUGAUAUAGAUUAGAUUGGCUUGAUAUUUAGAUUUUUAUUACCGAAAAUCAUUAAAUUUUAAUAUAUAUAUAUACACACACACCAAUUAUCACUCAGAGAAGUGUUAUCUAAUUUUACAAGGAAAAAUAAAACAAGAUAAAUAAAAUUAAAAAAUUGUUACCUCGCAGAAAGAGGUGCAUCCAGGCAUAAUCGCAUUAUGUGAUACUUCAAGUGAGGGGUUCACACAUCUAUAUUUCAAUAUUUUUUAAAAAAUGUAACACUACUAUAUAUUACUAUAUAUGAUCUCGGAAAAUCCCCGUGACCCCUCUUAGAUACGCCUCUGAUCUGAAUCGAGCGUGUAUUAUUUAUUUUUAAAAGAUAAAUCAGGGAAAUGGAGAAGGACAUUUCGGAGUGGAAAAUUGAACACUUACAAAAAAGUUUAGAUAAUCAACUACCGUUAAGAUUUUCAAUUAUUGUUAUAUUUAUAUUCUAAGAAGAAAUAUAUAUAUAUAUAUAUAUAUAUAUAUAUAUAUAUAUAAUAUUUUUUUUAUGGUGUAAACAUAUUGCCCAACUAUAAAAGGACAUAGAGAUUCAUGUUAAUAAUGAACCACACACACAUCAUCUUUGUAAGAUAAUAUUUGAGAGAGAGAGAGUGAAGAAGAUGAGUCUUGAAGGGAAGUUGGUUUCAGAGAUAAAUAUAAAGUGUGAUGGAGAUGUAUUUCAUGAGAUUUUUAGGCAUAGACCACAUCACAUUUCAACUAUGAGUUCUGAUAAAGUACAAAAUGUGGAUAUUCAUGAAGGUGAAUGGGGUACUGUUGGAUCUGUCAUUUUUUGGAAUUUUACCCAUGGUAAGCCACCACCACUUUAUUAUACCACUACAACUUCUUUGUUAUAUCGACAAAAGGUGGAUUCAGAUUUUAAAAUUCUAUAACGAUCAUGAGUUAACGUAACAUAAUAUUCUUAUAACUUAAGUUUGUAAUCAUUUAUUUAUAAAUACUUUUUAGAUUUUUAAUAUCGAAGAUAGCAAAUUUUUGAAAUUGAAUUAUAUUCGGAUAAUUUGAAUAAAAGUCAUUAAAAUGAAUCUACAUGUGUCUUAAGGGCUAGAUCUGCCCUUAUAUUGUUAGCCUCCAAUUUAAUGGUACUCUAUAUGGUCUAAAAUAAGUAUGGUUUAAGGUUUUCAACACAUUUAUUAUAAAAAAAAAAUUAAUGAGUGGUGAUCAUAAAUAAAGAUGCAUGGAUUUAGAAUUUAAGUAUAUAUUCAAAUGAUUAGCUUUUUAGCCUUCAAUGUAUUAUAUUUUUUAAGUUAUUAUUUUCGAUCUAUUAUAUUUAUUACAAAUUUAGUAAAUAUUUAUACGUAGAUUUAAGAUCUAUAUUAAAAUACUCGAUUCAGAUAAAUCUGAUGCCACAAUCGCUGCAUCCCCAUGUGAUCACAAGGAUUAUUUGAAUAAAUUAACCUUAUUAUUCCUCAAAGUACUCUUUUAUCUCUCCAUGGGCUUUUAGAUCGGUGAAAAGGUUGAGUUUACGAAAAUAAUUACUUUUUUCCAUUUUAAUAUGUUUAUGUGGUUUUGAUUUGAUUCAGAGUUUUAAAAGUGCAUAAUUUUUUCUAAAAUUUCACGGUGUCAAACUAAAAAUACGUAAAAUAUUAAUUAAAUAUCUUUUAAUUUUGUAAUUUUAAAUAUGUCAUGUGAAAAAUUAAAAUCAAAGAAAUAAAAGAAAACAUCAUUUUAAAAACAAACUAAAUAAAGAGAACACAAAUAAAUUAAAAUGGAGGUAACAAUGUUUUCUUGAUUUAGAGACACUUAAUUUGAACUAUAUUGAUUUUGGAUAAAACAAUACUUAAUUCAAUUAAAUAGAGCAUUUUUUACACAUCAAAGAUUUGUGUAAAUUAUAAUUCAUAAUUUAAAGAGUCAAUAAGUAUAUAAUUUGUUAUAUACACUAUUUAAAAAUUGCUAACUAAAGCUUUUGUGUAUAUAGAUGGGAAAGAAAAGGUUGCAAAGGAAAUAAUUGAAGAAAUAGAUGAAGAAAAGAAGCUUGUUAAAUUCAAGGUGAUUGGAGGAGAUAUAUUGGAUUAUUACAAAUCAUUUUACCUCACUGUUCAUGUUGAAACAAAGGGUGAAGACAAUUUAGUUACUUGGAUUUUGGAAUAUGAGAAGUUAAAUGAAGACAUUGAAGAUCCUCACACAUUGAUGAAAUUUUGUCUUGAUGUUACAAAAGAUAUUGAAACUCAUCACCUAACAGGAAAGUUAGUUUCUGAGAUAAAUAUCAAGUCAGAUGGAGAUGUGUUUCAUGAGAUAUUUAGGUAUAGACCACAUCAUAUUUCUAGUAUGUCACCAAGUUAUAUACAAAAUGUGGAUAUUCAUGAAGGUGAAUGGGGCACUGUUGGUUCUGUUAUCUUUUGGAACUUCACUCAUGGUAAGCCUAUAUCCUAGCUAUUACUCUUUAUUCUUUGUCAUUUGAUGUUUGAUAUAUACUUACUGACUCAGUUGACCUAGAUUCGUGAUGCAUAUGGUGUCCAUUAAAGAGAAAAUGUUUCUGUUUCCUCCGUUUCAUGAAGUUUUGAGUUCGAAAUCCAUGAUAUGCAUUUUAAGUUUAUCGUACUAUAUCCUAGCUACUCUUUAUUCUGUGUCAUUCGAUGUUUGAUAUAUACUUACUGACUCAGUUGAUCUAGAUUCGUGAUGCGUAUGGUCCAUUAAAGAGAAAAUGUUUCUGUUUCCUUCGUUUCAUGAAGUUUUGAGUUCGAAAUCCAUGAUAUGCAUUUUAAGUUUAUCAUACUAUAUCCUAGCUACUCUUUAUUCUGUGUCAUUCGAUGUUUGAUAUGUACUUACUCACUCAGUUGAUCUAGAUUUGUGAUGUGUAUGGUCCAUCAAAGAGAAAAUGUUUCUGUUUCCUCCGUUUUAUGAAGUUUUGAGUUCGAAAUCUAUGAUAUGUAUUUUAAGUUUAUCGUACUAUUUUUUUUUUGUUUCAAUUUAUGUGAAAUCGUUUAGCUGGAUAUAAAAUUUAGGAAAGAAACAUACAACUUUUUGAGUUUGUGAUUUGCGAUAAGUUUUAUAUAUCAUGAUAAACUAAAAAAAUUGAAAGUUAAAUUGUUUCUAAAAAUAUACUAUUCAAUAAUUGGAGAUAUGGAAGUAAAAUUUUUAUAAGCUAAUUGUUCCAAUACUCAGUACAUGCUUUUGUCUUAAUUAAACAAUAGGUCAUAAUCUAAUCUUAUGAAAGCUUAGACAUGUCAAAAUUUAUAAUCACAUAUAUAAAAAUAAAUAAUUUUUUGGAUUUGAUUGGUUAAAUAUAUAUAUAUAUAUAUAUAAACCUGAUAAUUAAAUGAAGAGUAAAACUUUGGUUGGUUUGAUUAGGUAACUAAAUAAUAAACAAAUAAAAAGUGCUGAUUUUGGAUUGGACAUAAUUGAUUGCCACAGCUGGUUAGAUAUAGACAUGAUAACAAAAUAAUAAACAAAUAAAAAGAGAUUUUGUCAGACAAAUAGCGUUUAUUCAUACAAUUUGUUAUUAUUUGAUAAAUUUUUAACGAAUAAUUAAAUUUUUAAAUACUAAUUUUUUCUACUAUUUGAAUCAGAUCUCAUUAUUUGGGAUCUUUGAAAAUUGAAAUUUUACAUCAAAUUUUUAUCUUUUACAAACACACCCUCUAUAGUAAUUGUUUGCGUUGUAUUACAUAAUUUUUUUACGUGAACACCAAAGUAGUGAUGAUAUAUUCUUUAAUAAAUAUGAAAGCAAAGAUAUGGUUGUUGAUGAAAAUGAUGAACAAUCCGCUCAAGGUAACAAAGUAAUCUGUUUUGCCUACUUCAUGAUGUAUGGAUUGAUGCUUGUCGCACUCACUCCAAACUACCACAUUACUCUAGUGUCAUAGGCACUAUUUGUUAUUUGUUGCAACGAAGAUCCAAUUGACUUGUAAUACAAACUUUGUGGUUAGUUCUGAUAGUUUUUAAAAACUCAUGAAUAUUAAUCAUAUUUUUUUUCCAAAAAAGUAAAAUAUAUUUCCCAAGUACUAUAACCAAACAAAUAGUCAAAUUUCACCCAAAUUUUUACUUAAAUAAUAUUUGCCAAGACUAUCUGGAAAUCUAUAGUCAAAUGCUAGCUAAAUUGUGACAGGUUAUUUAACUUAAAUUGACAUGUUCGAUCCAUUAAUCCCAUCAAUACUCUCAUAUGUUUAUUCAUUUGAACCAUUUUAACUCGUUCAGAUUCAAUUCAAAUACUCUCAUUUGAUAAAGGGAAUUAGUAAUACUAAAUUCUUACUAUAUAUCUUUGUUUGUAGAUGGGAAAGAGAAGGUGGCAAAGGAAGUAAUUGAAGAAAUAGAUGAAGAAAAGAAGUUGGUUAAAUUUAAAGUGAUUGGAGGAGAUAUAUUGGAGGCUUAUAAUUCAUUUUAUCUCACUGUUCAUGUUGAAACAAAAGGUGAAGAUAACUUAGUCACUUGGAUCUUGGAAUAUGAAAAGAAGAAUUGUAAUGUGCCAGAUCCACACACUUUAAUGGAAUUCUGCCUCAAUGUCACAAAAGAUAUUGAGACUCAUCAUCUCAAUUGAUACAUAAAUAUCACUAUGUUCAUACAUAAAUGUUGCUCGAACUUUUAAAAAAUAUAUCGAUAAUUAUAAUAUUAUCCUAUGUAUUGACGAUAUUUCUAAAGAGUAUGAGCAAUAUGGGGGUGAAUGCUUGGAACUAAGAUGUGGUGUCUCAAGUCUUUUAAUAAUGUGUGGUGUUAUUAAUGAGUGUGCUUUGAAAUGUAAACUAUAUGUAUCAAGAAUAAAAUAAAAUAGGGCAAAAUGAGUGACUAUGUAAUUUCUAAUAUAUAAUAUUUUGUUUGAGAUUGAAAAAUAGCUUGUAUUUUUUAAUAUUGCUAUUGUAUUUUUUUUCUAUAGUUGAUUUUUAUAUACUUUAGUUGAGCGAUAGUUGAUUACAAAUAAUAUUUAUUUUCGGUUAGGAUAAGAGUAAAAUUUAUGAAUAUAUCAUAUAUCUUGACUCCACUUAUGAGAUUACAUUAGAUAUAUUAUUUACAUUAGAAUUUCAAUUAAUCUGAAUUCACAUUGCGUAUAAUCCAUUAAUAAAAAAGAAAAUGUUUCUUACAAUUAAGACUUCCCUUAUUUACUUAUUCAGAUUUUAAUAUUUAUCAUUUCUGAUUAAAAACGAAAAAAUCUUAUCAACUUGCCACGUCCCUCGAAUAAAUAAUAUUUUUCUAAAAAAUUUGAGAGAUUGGUUUUUGGGAAUUGUGUUUUUUUACUUUGUUUCUGGAAAGUAAUAAGCAAAUAUUUCUCAACCAUAUUUUAUAUACAAUGUCAGUUAUAUACAUUAUAUAUAGCAUUAUAUUUUAUAUAUAUUAUAUGCUUACAUAGUACGAGCCAUUUUAUACUAAUGGACUUUAAACCAGGGAGAAAAGAAAAAUAAAAAUACAGAGAAAUUUUUAAGAAAUUAUUAAAAUUUCACGUGGUUCUUAAAUAUCCAUUAUCAUAAUUCAAGAUUUUUGUGUUCAAGUAAAGCUCUUUAAAUCGUAAUGUUUAUUUCAUAGGCUUGAUCUUUCGUAAAUAGAGUCAGAAUAAAAUGUCUAUAAUAAAAAGAUUUGAUACACUUUUAUUGAGUAUUAUUACUUUCUCUUCAACCAUAAUACUAUUAGUUGAUUAGAUAAUCGAACACAAUGAUUUUAAUUUAUUACAACAAAAAAUAGUAAAAAUAAUAUGGCCAUUAUAUUACAUAUAGCAUGUGGCAAAUACCAAACUAGUGUUUUACACAUUUAUCAAUUAGAAUGACCUAAUACAAGGCUCAUCCCAUAACACUUGUACAUUAUUAUAAAAUUUACUAAUAAUAUUAUAGCUUAUGCAAUAUAGAAUGCAUCCUCAGAUAAUAUUUUAGGAAUCACCUCAAUUUGCAAUUUUACUUCACCACACUCCACAUUUUGCAACUUAAGUGUCAUGUCUUGGAUCAAUUUGCCAUUUUCCCAUAUGAUGCAACUCUCCUUAGCUAAGCAAUUGUCACUAUUUGGAUGAACUUUGUCAACUUUGACACCAUUUGGAAGGUCUUGAUGAUAACUCAUUUCCAAUGCUUUGAGAUAUGGUUUGAUGUCUAUCUUUGCUUCACCUAUUUUGUCAUCUUUACUAAAUGUAUCUUUGUCAUACACAGUCUGAAAAUAUCAUAAUCAUCAUAUUAAAUAAUUAUAUAUAUCGAGAAAUAUUAGUAGCUCUGUUGGUUGACUAAUUGAAUUUUAUCCUUCAUUACAAUAAAAAAUACAUUAUUGACGUAAUACAUAUACAUCAGCUAACAAUUACGGCCUUUAACUUUGAAUGUGCACAAGUAGACACAUAAAAUUGAACAAAUAUACACACAUUAGUCCUACAUGUCACCCUGAAAAUUUUGUGUCCUACGUGGCGUCUUACUUGUUCAAUUUUAUACAAAGUUUAAUAUCUACUUGUGUAGAUUCAAAGUUUGAAGACAUAAUUAUCCUUCGAAGCCAAGUUGAGGAUCAUAUUUAUGCAUUACGCCAAAGACAUAUAGUGAAAAAUACAUUUUCUCUAUAUUUAACAUAAAAAUAUUUAGCUACAAUAAGCUUAAUUAGUUUCAUUGAAGAAUAAUAUUAAGAGAGAGUACUCACCAAACCAAUUUGAACAUUUGGAUAUUUGAGUGCAAGUGUCAAUUCAUCAUCCCAGACAGGGUUGCAGUUGUUCUUCUUACAACUAGUCUUCACUUUCUAUAAGUCAAUUACAAAACAUCAGUACAAAAUAACAGAUAUUAUUUAGAUUUUGACAUAAUGAAACACAAAAAGAAAGUAUUUAUGAUUUUAAGUUUAUGAAUUUUGGAUUUAGAACAAGAUAGUAUUUUGAUAAUAUACUUCAUUCCAAUUUUUGUGAAUAUAGUUGGACACAUGUGUCCUGUUAGCGUGGGUUCAAUAUCUGUUAUUCUUUUUUUGUCUUAAUUUAUGUGAUAUAAAUAGAAUUUAGAGAGUCAGUUAAAUUUUAAUAUGAUUUUUAAAUAUUUAAAUUGUUAAUUAUCGUGAUUUAUAGUACUUUUACAUAAUUUUAAAUAAUAUAUGUUAUUCCCCUUUGUCCUAAUAUAUGUAUAACAUAAAGAUUUUUCAAGAGUCAAUCAAAUAUUGUUAAUCAUUGAGAUUUACAAUACUUUUUAGGUGAUUUUCAAAUUAAAUAAUGUAUAUUACUUCUUCUGUCCCAUUUUAUAUUGAUACCUAUAGAUUAAUUUCAAAACUUAAUCGAACUUUUUAUAUUGUUUUUGAAAUGUUUAAGUUUGUCAAUUAUUAUAAUUUAUAUUACUUUUUAUAUAAUUUUUAAUUUUAUAUAUAUAUAUAUAUAUAUAUAUAUAUAUAUAUAUAUAAAAGAAACAAAUUAAAAUGAAUUCGAACAUGAUAGAUUUUCAUCUCAGGUUAAUCAAUUUAAUGAUCGACUUUCUCUUAUAAUAUUAUAAAUUUUAUUAGACAAUGAAAUGUUAAAAAAAAGAUUUUUUUAAAGAACUUAUGAUAAUAAAUAUUUGUAUGUCUAUAAAUAAUUUCAUUAAAGUAAGAUGCAUGGUACUAAGUUACUGAAUAUAAAAAUUAUUAUAUUUGAAUGGACUAAAAAAAGGAGCGACACAAUUAAUUAGACAAAGAGAGUAUAUAAGUUAACUUUUUAGAAACUUCAUUAAACAUAAAAACACAUAGUCUAAGACCAAAUUGUUGGUUUUGUAACAAGUUCUAAGAUAUAAAAUCGAGAUUUUUUAAAAAGAUAAAAGUUGUAAAUAAUCAAUAAUCAUAACUAAUGAUAGUAAUAUUCUUCAUAUAAAAAUAUAAAAUCUGAAUCAAUUAUAUUAUCAAAAAAUUUAUUUCAGAUAUGCCUUUGAAAGACGAUAUAUUUGAUCACUCAAUAUGAUUAAACUCAUAAAAAAUAUGCAUAAAACAUGUACCUGAUCACCCAUGGUAAGAACAACAUAAGGAUCACUAUGAAAUAUAUCCUUGAGUGGUAAAUUGAUGCCUUUGUGUACCCUAAUUUUAACAAGUCCCAACAUCAUAAAAAAAAAAUUGAAAAUUUUUCAACUUAAUUGGUUUAUGUGCCACAACAAUAUAUCAAUAUGGCCUAAGAAAAUGACUUUCAUUUAUUGAUUUAUUCUUUUUAUCACUUCAGAAUAAUUCUAGUAUUUUAUUAGAAUUUCAAAAAGAAAAAGGAAAAUGAGAAUUUAUACCAUAGGUCAAAUUAUUCACCUUUAAAAGAAUCUCUCACUUUCUACUUUCAUUUUUUUUAUUAAUAGUUUUAGCUGAAUUAACCUUUUUUUUAAAAUUUAUAAUCGAUCACUACUUUAUAACUAAAUGAAAUUGAUAUGAUUUUUUUGUUAUUUAAUUAUUAAAUUUUAUUCUUAAUUAAUUCCUAAUGAUUUUGUAAUAAUGUGUUCAAAGAGAAUCUAAUAACUUUCUAAAGUUAUUCUUGAAUAAUGUCCUUGGCUAGGUUAGCUUUAUUCCAAAGUUCACAUCUUUUAUUAAAUGGAAAAAAAUGAAAUAUGCCAUUGAAUUAUCAUAAAUAAAUUAUUUAUAUCGAUCAUUGUUAAAGAAAUAGGUUUAUCUAUGCUAUUGCCUUUAAUUAAAUAUUUAAUUAAAUUAAAAUUAAAUAUGAACUGAUUUAAAUAAAACCCGAUUCACCAGUAGAAUAUAUAGUAUCCAACACGAUUCAAGCAUUAUUCAUUACUUAGAUAUUUAAUAUAAUUAUCAAUAAAUAAUACAUUUACUGACCUUGUUCCCCAAUAUACUAUCAAAUAUCACACUGAUCACUAGUAAUAUUAGGUUAUUAUUAUGAACCACAAAAUAAAAUUAAAGUAAGAUCACCAUAGACACAAAAUAUUAGUUAAAAAAUACAUGUAACGCCAAAGAAACACAAAAAACUGAUGAUAUAUAUAGAAGAAUCACAUAAAUAUAUAUCUUCCAAAAGGGAAGCUUCAAAAUAUUCUAGCACAAUAUAUAAAAAAGCAUACACAUAUGUAUUAUAUGGUCACAUUACAUAAUAGUGUUAAAAAUUUAACAAUGUUGCUUCAACGAAGCAAAUAUGAUUUUAUACGCCUCGCGCUCAAGGCUUUUUAGGUACUUGAGGGAUUUCUAGCUUUGGCAAAGUUGGUAAUUCAGGCUUAGGAAUAACAGGUAUCUCGAGUUUUGGCAAUGCUGGAAGUUCGGGCUUUGGCAAUGUUGGUAACUCGGGCUUUGGGAUUUUUGGCAGUUCGGGCUUUGGCAAUGUUGGUAACUCGGGCUUUGGGAUUUUUGGCAGUUCGGGCUUUGGUAGAGUUGGUAGCUCAGGUUUUGGAAUUACAGGGAACUCGGACUUAGGCAAAGUUGGAAUUUCAGGUAAAUGUGACGAUUCGGGCUUAGGAAGCUCAGCCAGAGUUAUUUCAAGAAGAUGACGAGCGUCUGCUUGAAUUACAUAAUCACUUGUUAAAAACAAAGUGACAAACAAUAACAAGAAGAAAGAAGAUGGGUUGUAGCAAUAAGCCAUAUUUGUUGAAAGGUGAUAAAUGCUUCAUGACUAGUAAUUUAUGCUUUGAUUAAUUAUGCUUUAUGUUUCACUUCAAACAAGUUUAUAUAGAAUUUAAAAAUUGGAGAAUUAGGCUUUGGUAGGAAAAAUUUUGUGUUAGUUCAUCUUCUUAACAAUAAAUUUAUUUAUAUAACAUAUUUUAUGUAUGAUAUUUCUAUUCAAACACAUAAUAAAAAGUCUUCAAGUAGGUGAUCUAAAUAGAGAACUUACUUUCCUUUAAAAUUAGACAAAGAUUAAAUUGAAUAAAAUGACAUACCAUUACUAGAUUAUGUACAAUUAUAGUAAAGAUAACUAAUGACAAUACUCAUGUUAUGUACCUAGUUAUUGUCGUAUACUAUCUUGAGGCCAGACAAGAAAUUCGUAAACUUCAAAUUUUAAGAUGUAAUAACAGUGAAUGAAUUAUACAACUUUGAAAAAUUUUUGUCAAUCACUUUCCAAGUAAUUGAUUUCUUCUGAGAAUCGAUGGCUUCAAUCUUAGCGAACAUUUCUUUUCCAUCUAUACAUUAAAGAUCAGAAAAAAUACAAUAGAUGUUACUCCUAAUUCAAAUGUUAAUUAAAACUCUAAUAUAAAAUACACCUAAAUAUAGAAAUUGAUGCAAGAAAAUAAUAUUGUGAGAAUGUGAGAAGAAUAAUAUAUUUUUUAUCUUAUUUUUGUUGCACGCAUAGGCAUACAAAGUAAAUGGGACUUUUUCAAAAUCACGAUGAUAAUUAUUUCGUUAUUAUAACAUUAUUAUUUCAACAAUAUGUACAUGUUCAAAUACAAUUAAAUUUAAUAAUUAAAGACAAAAAAAUAGUACAAAAUAAACCUAAAGAAUGUUAUGAUACUUUGGUUAAUUUUAAAAUUUAUCGAUAACACACCUCAAAUUUUCGAAGAAAUUAUAAGAGUUAAAUUAUUUUAAAAUGUGAAUAUAAAUAAAUAAAUUGAUUGACUAAUCCAGCAACACUUGAUAAUGGAAUAACGAUACAUAUUAACUUAAGAAUUUUUUCUUUUUUAAAGUACAUAAAAAAACGGAUGUACUAAAUAUAUUAUAUAAUUCUUUUAAAUAUUGCAUCCAACGAGAAAAUCACAAUAUUUCUUGACAUAUAUAUGUCACUUCCAAAUCAUGUUUAGUUGGAUUCUUUUAUUGAUUUAAUUUGACUUUUCGAUUUGAUAGUACAAUUUUUUCGAUUUGAUUUAGACACCCUUAUGCUUAGCCUCAAUUUUAUAGGGUUACUCCUAAUUUGUAAAAUAUGGCACUAUAGAACAUAUAAUAGCAUGAAACAUCAAAAUAUUCAUUGUAGGGGUCCAAGCACAAGUUUUUAAUUUGCUUACUUGCUCCGCGACAAAUUUUGUUGAAGUUUGAUCAAUAUGAAGAUUAUGUACUAGCUUUGUCUCUCUAAGUCAAUAUGAGGAUUAUAUAUAUAUAUAUAUUCUUCGAACAUUGACAUUAUAUAGAAGUGGUGUAUAUAUAUAGAAAAUAUUCCUCUAACAUGAUAUAUUAUUUAUUUUACACGCUAGCUAGGACUAGCCAAUAUUUUCAAAUACUCAUCACACAAGAACAAACACAUAGAUAUAUAUAUAUAUAUAUAUUCUUCAAACAUCACAUUAUAUUUAUAUAUAUAUAUAUACACUCCAAACAUGAUAUUAUUUAUUACAUGCUAGCUAGGGCUAGCCAAUAUUUUCAAAUACUCAUCACACAAGAACAAACACAUAGAUAUACUUAUGUAAAGGACCGUUGAACAUCAUAGAUUUUCUAAUUCUUGAGAAGGUGACUCUCUGUAUCCUUGAUCACACCAACGCAAUAAUGCAUGAGAGCGAGGGGUUCUGGGGUAUCUUCAGUUUUCUUCUCGUACACAAGUGUAUAUGUAAUCCAUUCAUGUUCAGAUGAUGUAAUAACGGUGAAGGAAUUAUACAAAUCUAAUAAAUUUCCUUCAAUCACAUUCCAAGAGAUUGAGUUCGUCUGAGGAUCGAUGGCUUCAAUCACAGUCUUAACAAACAUUUCUUUUCCAUCUAUUCAUCAAAGAAAAAAAAAAUAGAUGUUACUCUAAAUUCAAAUUUCAAAUUCUUUAUUUUACUUUCCUUUUUUUUUUUGCAAUAGAUGUUACUCAAAGUUCAAAUUUUAAAUUCCUUAUUUUUAUUUUCCCUCUUUUAUUAGUUUCAUUUUAAUAAAAAUCAUCUAUUAAUGCUCAUGAAGAUUAGAAUGAUGGCUGAAGUAAUUUUCCAUUUAAAAAUACAUCAAAUAUUUUUCAAAAUUCUUAUCGUUUAACUCUUAAAAAAAAAAGGAAAACAUGACAAUUAAAAAUAGACCGAGAGAGUAAUCAAUACCAUUAACUAACUUUUUCAUGGAAAAGAUUUUCAUGGAUAGGAGAAUUACUUUCGAAAUAUGAAAUACACCUAAAUGUAGAAAAUCGAUGCAAUAAAUAUUGGGAGAAAGAGAGGAGAGAAAUGUGUGUUACCUUCGUAAUAUUUCCAGCUAGCAACCGAACCAAUUUCCCCUUUUUCACCUUCAUGGAUCUCAAAAUGCUUGACUCUACUAGGGCUUAUGGUGGAUAGAUGUUGGGUAUUAGUACGGAAAAUAUCAUGAAUUGAAUGUCCUCCACACUUCACUUCCAAUGAAACAAUCAACUUACCUUUACGGCUCAUAUUUUAUUUUUCCUAGUAAUAGCAAUGAGUUUUCGAUAGGCAAGUGGUAAGAAAAUGUAUAAAAGUUGUACCUUUUUAUAUAGAUUUUAAUUAAUGUAAGAAGCUAAUCAAUGAAAAAUAUUAUUCACCACAUGUCUAUAUCACAUAGUGGCGGUGUUAAUUAAAUUUUGUAUAAUUAGGUUUUAGUUUAGCUAUAAAUUUAUUAUGAUAUGUUACCAUGAUAAUUGAAAUAUGAUGACAAUACAAUUAUAAAUAAUGAGGUAUAUAUUUAUUUUUAUGCGACCGUAUUUUAAUUUUCUUUCUUUAGUGAUGGUGAUCAAUUGUGGUGUCAGUCUUAGCUUCUUUUCGGAUCAAAUCUUGAUUUUUUUCUAGCUUUUUCGAUUGUCGAGCCCGAUCGAUUCAACUAUUCUUAUUAUCUGCCUCUCACUUCGUUUCGUUCUUAUUUUUAUGUACCUCCGCUUGAAUGAAGACACUCAAUCAACCCAACCCGACUUUUCCAAGUGCCCCCACUGGUUCUUAUCUUUUACGUGUCUAGAUUAGUUAUUCUUGUUAAAAUUAUCUCUUGAAGAAGCGUGAGCAGAUGCCUCGACCUUUCUCAGUAUUUGGAUGGACAAGUAUCGUAUAGAAAAUUGAUUCUUUUUUACUAGGUUAGAAGAUUCCGUACUUACAAAGAUUUCAUCCUAAUCCAAAAAGAAGAACAAAACCCAUAAAUUACACAUAUAUAAAAACGGAUCAAACCAAACCACGGUUAGUUGAAUUCUUUGUUGAUUUGAUUUGACUUUUCAAUUUGAUAUUACGGUUUUUCAGUUUGAUUUAAUUAAACAUCUUUAUGCCUUGCCUCAAAUUCAUAGGGCUACUCCUAACUUGUAAUAUAUAUUGUAAUAUAAAACAUAGAAUAGCACGAGGAAAUUAUAAGCUUUACUCUUCUUUUAUUUUCUUGCACAUAUUUUAGGGUUCUAUUUAAUUUGAUUUGAUAAAAAGAGAUAUAAAAAAAACUUCAAAUUGGAAAAAAUAUUUUUAUACAUAAACUCAAGUAAUAGAUGUAUAAGAAUUAAAUUUAUAAAAAUGGUGAAUGAUAUAUUUUCUUGCAAAAAAAAUUUCCAAUUUUUAUUUGGUGAUUUUAUAGUGAUAAUGUGUACGUUAAAGAAGAAAAAGAGAAAAGGAGUAGGGGCGGAGGAGGGUGGGGGCCUGGGGUGGAUGAGGGCUGAGGUUGAAAAAGAAGAAGAAGAAAAGGAGUAGAGGACGGGGGAGGAAAGGCUCAAAAUAGUCCUUUGAUUUGAUAGCUUUUAGGCAAAAGUAUGAUAAUUGUAAUACAAUAAAUAACACAUGGUAAGAAUUAUAAGGGAACGACUAAUCUUAUAACACAGAGGAAAGGCUCAAAAUAGUUCUUCUUCUUUGGGUUAAGACUCAAAGCGAUCCUUGAUUUUUCACAUAGAGCACUAAUAGUCCCUCAUGUUUGCAAUAUUGAUGCACUUUUGGUCCUCCCCUAAAAUUUUGUCUAUUUAUUAACGUUAAUUUUGCCCAGAAUUUCAUAUAAGAAAUGUCCGAACGUCUUUUUAUAUAUUUAGUAGAAAUAAUAAUUCUAUCUGAGAGAAGGUCAUAAGAAAAACACAUUGUUUUGUUCAUUAGAAAUAUUACUGCAACUAAACUAAGAACAUUUUAACAUAUGACUUUGCAGAAAAAGAAAAAGUUGUACUAUUGCACGUGAAAUUAUCGUGAUGAACCGCUCAACUUUACCUGCAAUAUGAUUUCUACUAAACAAAACAAAGUAUUUUUCUUCUCGCAUACUUUCAUAUGGAGUUGUUAUUUCUACUAAAUAUAUAAAAUGACAAUUGCACAUCCUAUACAUAGGUUAUGGAUAAAAUCAAUGCUAAAAAAUAGAUAAAAUUUUGGAUGAGAAUCAAAAGUGCACCAAUAUUGCAAACAUGAGGGACUAUUACUGCUCUAUGUGAAAAUUCAAGGAUCACUUCGAGCCUUAACCCUAAGAAGAAGAACUAUUUUGAUCAUUUCCUCUAUAACAAUACACUAAACCUUUGCAAGGCAAGACAUCACUCUAUCGCUACUAGCCUUCUACCCUAAUACACAAUCUCCAGUCUUUCCUAUUUAAAGUACUCAUAUCCUAGGUAAGAUCGAGCUCCAUCAUGUCCUAUCUAAUUACUUUUCCUCAAUACUUUUUCGGUCUACCCCUACCUCUACAUGUACCCACUACAUCUAACCUAUCGCACCUCUUCACUAGCGCAUCUCCUCUACACAUGCCUAAGCCAUCUCAAUAUCGCUUACCUCGUCUUUUCUGCUAUAGAGGUCACUCUCACCUUCUCCUAAAUAACCUCAUUCCUAAUCUUGUAACUCCUUGUAUGCCCACACAUCUACCUCAACAUCCUGAUCUUUGCAACAUGUAUUUUUUGAACAUAUAAAUUCUUGACUAAUCAACACUCCACCCCAUACAACAAGGAUAGAAUAACCACACUCUCCAGAACUUACUUUUUAGUUUAGGUGGUACCUACUAGCUACAUGUCGGUUGUGUUGUGACGAAAAAGAUGAAUUUAACGUGGAAAAACCCUUCAAACCGAAGGUAAACACCACGGGAUCGACAAGAUCCAAAUUGCUUCACUAUACCAAUAAGAGGGUUAAAAAUAUUCUUCUAAUGGCUACACAACAAGUGCCAAAAGAGAACAAACAAUAGCUACACCAACAAAAGAUAAAUAGAAAGAAACACCACCCAAACCCAGCUCUUGUUCGGGACCUAAAUUAGGAUCUUGUUAACCUCUGAAUCGGAUCUCCACCGUUCAAAUCAACCACCAAGAUGUCAGGAACACUCAGUACAAAUUUCAGCCCGACCCAACAGUUAGUUAAUCGGGAAACAUGAUCUGAACGUUGCUGGUCGGAGAAAAAGAAUGCAGCAAAAGAACCUUUUCUUUCUCUCUUUUUCUCUAGUUGAAAGCUCUCUCAAAAACCUCUCUUAUGUUCUAAUGUCUUUCAAAGACAGUACCAAUGAGCAAUUAAUUAUUCUCUCAAAACCAUCUUCUAUUUAUAGAGUUGUGCUUUUUCUUACAAAGCCAAAACCAACUACAAAUAGGAUUACUAUUCAAAUCCUUUUCCUAAUAGAAUUGGAAACCAAAUAAAGAGAAUAAUUCCAAUCCUUUUCCAAGUAGGAUUAGGCCAUGGGCCUUUGGCUGGAACAUGGGCAAUAGCCCAACAAACUCCCCCUCCAGCCAAGGGGCCAAAUGGACUUCAAGUGGAGGAACUUUUGACAGGCUUCCUGCCUGCCACACUUCUACAAAAAUCAUGAUUGUCUACGAUGAGUUCUUUCCACUUAUCUCUAUGAGUAUCUAACAUGACUUCACCAUAACCUUCAGGUUCUCCAAUAUUAGUCAAUAGAAUAUACUCAUCAUGAGAAUAACGUGUUGAGCUUCGCUUCUCUCUAGUAUAUCUUCUACAAGAGGUUUCUGGAGCAUCCGAAGCGGUCAUCCCAACAUGAGUUGGUUGAUUAUGAACCACAACAUCAUCAGUAGGAACAAUUAUAUGUUCUACACUCUCAUCAUUAUCUUGAUCAUUACCUUGGAUUCCCUCAUGUGCAGAAGAUGUAUCAAUAAUAGGAAUUGGAUCAACAUCAACUAAGCUCUCAUCAGUAUGAGAAUCUAGUUUCUCAGUAUUGUCAAUAUCUUCAAUAGUUUGAUCUUCAAAGAACACAACAUCACGACUUCUAAUGAGUUUCUUAUCAAUUGGAUCAUAAAAGCAAUAUCCAAACUCAUCUUGACCAUAACCAAUGAAGAUACGUUGCUUAGUUUUAACAUUCAAUUUCGACCUCUCAUCUUUUGGAACAUGCACAUAAGUUUUACACCCAAACACUUUCAAGUGAUCAUAAGAAACAUCCUUAUCAAACCAAACUCUGUUUGGAACAUCACCAUCCAAAGCAACAACAGGAGACAAAUUGUUAACAUAAGCAACAGUGUUAAGUGUUUCAGCCCAAAAAGAAUUUGGAAGUUUAGCAUCUGAAAGCACACAUCUAACUCUCUUUACUAAAGUUCUGUUCAUCCUCUCUGCCAAACCAUUUAAUUGAGGAGUCUUUGGAGGAGUCUUCUGAUGACGAAUUCCUUGCGAUUUGCAGUAGUAAUCAAAGGGACCAAUAUACUCACCACCAUUAUCAGUGCGAAUACAUUUUAAUUUCUUUCCCAUUUGUCUCUCAGAUAAGGCUUGAAACUGUUUAAACACAUCAAGCACUUGAUCUUUGGAUUUCAAAGAAUAUACCCAAAUCUUCCGAGAAUGAUCAUCAAUGAGAGUAGCAAAGUAAAGUGCACCACCUUUUGACUUCACUUUGAAAGGACCACAUAAAUCUGAGUGUACUAGCUCCAAUAGCUCAGACUUUCUUGAAGGUGUAUGACUGUGAAAAGAAACUCUUUUCUGUUUCCCUGCUAACAAUGAACACAUAUUUUCACCUUUGCUUGUUUCAUACCAGCAAGCAAAUUCUUCUUAGCCAAAUAGGUGAUCCCUCUCUCGCUCAUAUGACUAAGCCGUUUGUGCCACAAUUAUUGAUAAAGUCUCGCUCUUCACCAAAUUUUUAGAGUCACCAAGAAUCGAUCCUUGUGUCAGGUAUAAAUUUGAAUGUUUUUUUCCUCGAGCUAAAAUCAGUGAGCCUUUGGUAAGCUUCCAUUGGCCAUUGCACAAGUCAUUAUGAUAGCCAUCAUCAUCUAGUUGUCCUACAGAGAUCAAAUUUAAGGGAAUGUCUGGAGCAUGCUUGACAUUCUGAAGGACCAACUUUGAACCGGUAUUGGUUUUCAAAUAAACAGUGCCAACACCAAACACCUUAACCUCACCAGCAUUACCCAUCUUUAACACCUCAGAGUUAACAGAAGUAUAAGAUGAAAAGAAGUCUUUUCUUGGUGUGACAUGUGAUGUAGCUCCAGAAUCUACUAUCCAACUUGUAUCUUGAGAUACAAAAUUGAUGACGUCUUUAUCACAAGCGAAGAGAAUGUCAUCUUGGACAAUAACAACAAUAUUAUUGUCAUUGUUUUCUUCCUUCUAACCUUCUUUAAGAUCUUGCUUCAAUUGUUUACAAAAUCUUUUAAUAUGUCCUUUCUUUCCACAAUGAUAACAUAUAAUAUUUAGAUUCUUGAAUUUUGACUUGGUUCUACUUUUACCUUUACUCCUCAGAUCUCUUGUCUUAUGUCUCCCUCGAUCUUCUGUGUAUAGAACAUCUGAAUGUGAAGAUGUGUCUUGAGAUUUUCUUCUAAACUCUUCAUUCAACACACCACUCUUUGCAUAUUCCAUAGUCACCUUUCCACCAGUGGCAGAAUUUGUUAAAGAAACACGAAGAGUUUCCCAAGAAUCCGGUAGAGUAUUAAGAAGCCAAAGUCCUUGUAUUUCAUCAUCAAAAUUCACACCCAUUCCUGAUAGCUGAUCAAGAAUACCCUGAAAAUCAUUUAUAUGAUCAAGAAUAGGACUGCCCUCCUCGUAUUUAAAGGUCAUCAAUUGUUUUAACAAGAACAACUUGUUAUUGCCAGUUUUUUAAGCGUAAAGCGUCUCCAACUUUUUUCACAAUGUUCUAGCAUGUGUCUCAUUCACAAUAUGGUUGCGAACAUUAUAUUCAACCCAUUGUCUUAUAUAUCCACAUACUUGUUGGUGCUCAAAUUCUCAAUUUUCAUCGGUCACAUUCUCGGGUUUAUGAGCAGAAAAAACCGGAAGAUGCAUCUUCUUCACGAACAAUAGAUCUUUCAUCUUGCUUUUCCAUAUGUUGUACUUUCUUCCGUUUAGACAUACCAUCUUGCUCAUAUUCCCCUCCAUAUAGAUAACCUUAGCUCUGAUACCAGUUGUUGUGACGAAAAAGAUGAAAUUGAAAAUCUAACAAUAUAAGAACACCAAGUUUAACGUGGAAAAACCCUUCAAACCGAAGGUAAACACCACGGGAUUGACAAGAUCCAAAUUUCUUCACUAUACCAAUAACCAAUAAGAGGGUUACAAAUAUUCUUCUAAUGACUACACAACAAGUGCCAAAAGAGAACAAACAAUAGCUACACCAACAAAAGAUAAAUAGAAAGAAACACCACGGAGCUCAGGUCGCUACAAAAAUGAUUUUGUGUCGACUUUGUAGGCUUUAGUCACCACUAAAAGUCCAAUUUCUUGUAGUUGCAUCAUUAAUGAAUGAGUUUCUAUUGUCAAAGGCAUUAUUUGAUAUCUCACACAGUAGGCAAUCCCUCUUCUAUGGCUAUUGCUUCAUCACAAAGAUUAUUAGUAGUAAUAGGAUAUAUAGUAUUUAGCAUUGGCAUGGACAAGGUCCCCUCUCUAAUUCUAAUACAAACAUGUCUAUAAUUUAUCUCAACAGCAAAUUUACAAAAGAGAUAUAGUGUUAAGUUGUGUGUGUGUAUUGUGGGGGGGGGGGGGUGUAGACAUCAUUUUCUUUAUAAAAAUAAGUAGUCUUGGGUAGGAUGCUAAAUAUAAAAGUAUUGGGUAUUAGCUGCAUAUAACCAAAGAGUCUCUUUCUGUAAUAAUUGUGUGUAAUUACAUGCACACACCUAAUUUUAUAUGUAUAGGCAAAGAGAAUAUGAAGUCUAAUGAGUUUGUCAAAGCAUUAGAUGAUAUCUCACACAAUAGGCAUUCCCUCUUAUAUGGCUAUUGCUUCACCACAAGGUCCCCUCUCCAAUCCUAAUAAAAAAAAAAUGUCUAUAAUUAAUCUCAACAUAAAAUUUUGUCAAAGAGAUAGAAUGUUUGGUUGGCCAUAUGAGAAACAAUAAUUCAUACAUUACUAAUACAGGAGUUUCUGGUGUUAUGUUAAAUUAAAAUGUACUCGUAUGACAAUUUGAUUAUUAAACACCGGCAUAAUUAUUCUUAUAUUAGUUAUUCUAUGAUAUUUUUUAAUAUUAUUUACAACAUAUAUAAGCUAGUAUAAUCACUGCAUAAUUAUAUUUAUGAGAUAAUCGGCCCCUUAUAAUAGAUCAAUAAGUUCUUAACAGACCAAAAUAUGAACAUAAUUCUGAUCUUUACUUAAGGAUCCAAUAGAAAAUAUGCAAACGGUUUUAUACUCAUUUAAUUGCAUAAAUUUAUCUUUAAAAGGAUAGAUCUUUAAUUUUCAUCUUUUAUGAGUUGAUUAUUAAUUUUUUGUCCUUAUAACUACAGCGGCUUAUGCACUCCACUUGUUACUACAAAACGAUGAAGCCAGAAGCGGAAGGAGGGACUUGAACCCUCAACCUCUUAAAAAAUGAACUUACGCCUAGCGUGACUUAAGUUCUUUAAGAACGCGAGACAUAACUAAUAAUGAAGGUUUGAUAUGAAAUGAUUUAGAUAUUAGAUUAUUAGUGCAUUUGUAUUCAUUACGAUUUAAGUACUUCUGAAUAGGUUUUAGUUAUAAAGAUUUUAUAUGAAUAAUAUUCAUCAUCAUGCUAUCCAUUUAUUACUAAUUACCACCACUAGGCAUCUUUGCCACCACAACCACCACCAUCAUUGUCAAUCACAUCAUCGUUGUCAAUCACUAACCACCCCCACCACCCACCUCUAUCAUCAAAAUGUUGAUAGAGCCUAGAAAUAUUGGCAUUGUCUAACUAUAAAAGGGAUUAGUAUCUCAUGUAAUGAUGAAACACACACUUCUUAUUAUAACUUUGUGAUAUAUCAUAUCAUAUAAGAAAAAUGAGCCUCCAAGGGAAGUUGGUUUCUGAGAUAAACAUCAAGUGUGAUGGAGAUGUUUUUUAUGAAGUAUAUAGGCAGAGGCCACACCAUAUCUCCACCAUGUCCCCUAAUAAAGUACAAAAUGUGGAUGUUCAUGAAGGUAAAUGGGACACAGUUGGCUCUGUUAUCUUUUGGAACUUCAUCCAUGAUAAAUCUUUAUUAUAUUUCAUUUCAAUAUUUUAUCACAAAAUGUUUGGUUCAUACAUUUUGUACUUUAGGAAAAUGUUACCUAGCACACAAUCACAAAUAAAUCCUAUAAGGAAAAUGUUAUUUCCAUUCCAAGAAGGAAAAAAAAUAUAUUCCUUUUUCCAAAUCUAUUAGGACAACAAAUCUAUUAAAUUAUUAGAGAUUAUGAGUUUUGUAAAAUAUAUAAGAGAAAAAUUGUACUCGCUCUGUCCAACAAUAGUUGUCAGCUCACUUUUUAUCUGUUCAGAUUCAAACCAACUCGCUCGAUCAUUUAAAAAUGAAAUUAAUAGUAUGAAAUAUUUACUAUAUAUAUAAUUUUUUCUAAAGAUGGUAAAGAAGUGGUGGGAAAGGAGAGAGUCGAAGAAAUAGAUGAAGAAAAGAAGAUGAUGAAAAAAAGGAUAAUUGAAGGAGAUAUAUUGGAGUAUUACAAAUCAUUUUAUGUCACUAUUCAUGUUGAGACAAAGGGUGAAAACAACUUAGUUACUUGGAUUUUGGAAUAUGAAAAGAAGAAUGUUAAUGUGCCUGAUCCACACACACUCGUGGAAUUACUCCUUAAUGUAACCAAAGAUAUUGAGAAUCACCACAUCAAGUGAUACAUAAAUAUUGUAAAUAAAUUGUUUGGACUCUUUAAAAAUGUCGACGAGUAUAUGUCGAAUUCUUUAAAAUAGUAUAUUUUGAAGAAAUCGAUAUAAAUACGACAACAUUUUUAAAAAGUGGAAGGCAAUGUAUGUAUACCAAAUGAUUGGAUUUAAGGUGUUGUCUCAAAGUCUGUUAUGAGCGGGUGUGCUUUGAAAUGUCUUGUAACAAAAAUAAAACGAGUGGACAUUUAAUUUUUAUAGAUAAAUAAAAAAUAAAAAUUGUUAUUUGAAUUGCAUUAUAGUUUUUUUUUUUUUGUUUGUUUUCUCUAUGCUGAAAACUAAUAGUAUGUGCUUUUCUUUCAACUUUUUCCAUUUUAUAAACAGGGAAUUUUAUUUUUUUGUAUAAGUCAUCACUAUUAGUUAGAUAUAUAUGAUCAUAAUAACAAGUUAAUAACAAUAUUCAAAGAGAAAGGAAUAAAAUGGUUUAAAAGUAAAUUUUCAACUUAGAGAAAAAGUAAAGAAACUUUGUCUUGAUGGCUAGGGCCGUAGCUAGGUGAGGCUGAAGGGUUUAUUUGAAAUCUCUAUCAAUACGAUGUUUAUAUAUAGUUAAAAUUAUAUUUAAUUUAUAUACAUAAGAUUCGGUUUAUUCGCCAUAAUUUUAAAUCAGUAUUAUUACUCAAGCUAAUGUGUUAUUUUGUAAUUUUAAUCCAUUUAUUACUAAUUCUAAUAUUCUCCCACGUUCUAACAAACAGAUUGAAACGAAUAAAAGUAUUAUUUGUAAGAAAAAAAGAAUUGAAACAAUCAAUAUUGUGUAACUUUAUAUUGAUUUCUCAUGAAGAUUAAAUUCUUUCAAAUUCAAACCAUAACAUUAUAUAGUUUUAAACUGAUCUUAGAUUUCAGGAGUCAUAUAUGAUUUAACUAAUAUAUUGUAGGUUUUUUUUGACACAUACACCCAAUAUUAGACAGCUUUUAGGUGAAAGUAUGAACUACUUAUGUUUAUUAUGCAUCUAAUUAAAAUUUGUGAAAAAUAAAAUUUUAUGAAAAAAAAGGCACUCAUCAACGAUAAUAUACCCAGUGAAAUUUAAUAAAGUGGGGGCAUGGAGAGAAUAGAGUGUUUGCAGGGCUAACUACUAUCUAGUAGAUAUGAAAAAAUUAGUUAUUUCCAAAUGAUCCUCGGCUCAAGUGUAUCACGCUCAAGCAAAAUAAGAAGAAAAUAGUGAAAAAAGCAUAUAAGAUAAAAAAAAUUAUGAAGUCAACUAGAAAGAAAUAAUAAUCACAACAAAAUAAUUAUGUGAUUUAUAGAAAUACAGUAAACAACAUAUGGCCAAAAUUACAAGGGCACGACUAAUCUUAUGACAUAUACUAAACCUUCGCAAGGCAAGAAAUCACUCUAUAUCUACUAGCCUUCUGCCCUAAUACACGAUCUCCACUCUCUCUUAUUUAAAGUCAUUUCCUAGGUAAUAUGGAAUUCCGUCAUGUCCUAUCUAAUUACUUCUCCCCAAUACUUUUUCGAUCUACCCCUACCUCUUCACUUACCAUCUACAUCCAACCUAUUGCACCUCCUCACUUACGCAUCUCCUCAACUCAUGCAUGCUUAAACAAUCUCAAUUCGAUUACCUUAUCUCGUCCGCAAUAGAGGUCACUCUCACCAUCUCCUGAAUGACCUAAUUCCUAAUCUUGUCACUCUUUCUAUCCCCACAUCUACCUCAAUAUCAUGAUCUCUGCAACAUGCAUUUUCUGAACAUGUAAAUUCUUGAUUGGUCAACACUUCACCCCAAACAACAAUGAUAGUCUAACCACCACUUCGUAAAACUUCCUUUUAAGCUCAGGUGGUACCUACUUAUCAUACUGACUCCGAAGGCAAGCCUUUAUUUCAUCCAAGACGGCUCGAACCAAAUAGAGAUAUUAGUACAAAAACUAAAUAAUUAAUGACUAACAACAUAACUAGUCAAAUAGAAAUAUUAAUUUGUAAUAUCUAUAAACUUUGGUUCAAGUAGAUUUUAAGUUAGAAUUCCUUUUGUCAUUAACUUAAUUUUAGUAUUCCACUUUAUUUUUUAUUUGUCCUACGAGUUGAUCCAAUCUACAUUGCUCAAGCCCCACGGACUAGCCUUUUCCUCUAACGAAAGUGAAAAAAAAAACUUUUAAAUUUACAAAAAUAUCUGAAAAAGCUUUUAUAGAUGAAUUGAACGACAAAUGAACAAUGCAACUAAUAUUUAGUUAUGGAACUAGUUACUUGCCAGUUGCCACAGAGCUCACGUCGCUACUAAAAUGAUUUUGUGGCGACUUUGUAGGCUUCAAUCGCCACUAAAACCCCAAUUUCUUGUAGUUGCAUCAUUAAAGGCAAUCCCUCUUCUGUUGCUAUUCUUUCAGACAAAGAUUAGUAGUAUUAGCAUUGGUGGACACAGUCCCCUCUCUAAUUCUAAUAAAAACAUGUCUAAAAUUAAUCUCAAGAGCAAAUUUACAAAAGAGAUAUAGUGUUUAGUAGUUGUGUGUGGGGGGGGGGGGUGUAGGCAUCAUUUCCUUUAUAAAUAAGUAGUUAAGCGUAGGGGAAAAGGGGUUGAUAUAUCCUUCAACUUUGUCAUAUGAAGCUGAUAUGUCGUCCCUUGUUAUGAAAGUGGUUCAAUAUACUCUUACCGUUAUACAAACGGCUCACAUAUACCCCUACUGUAACAAAAUGAGCUCAUAUAUAUCCUUCAUUUAACGUAAUUUAUAUUUUAGAAUUUUGAUUUUAAGAAAAAUCAUGCGGUGAUAUAUAUCAAGUUAUAUUUUAAUCUUUUCAUACAUAAAUUAUUUUUUGAGUUCUUUGAUUAUCAUUAUUUGAGUUACUCAUUCUUAUUCUAUUUUUCUCUUUCAUUGUUUAAUGUAAAGAAAAAAUUUAAAACUAAGUUUUUGUGGUUAAUUAUAAUUUGUUUUUUUGGCUAUAUUAUAAUUUAGUUUUUGUAUUUGAAAAAAAGAACUGGUCGAUUAUAGUAAAUUUUACAAGAAAAUUAGUGAAACACAUAUAAAUUUGACCAUAAAAAUAAAAAAUUUAAAUUAGUCAUUGAAAUUAAAAAGUCACUUCUGUUAGAGGAAAUGUUUAUAUGAAAUCGAUUCAUUUGUCUAACAGUUGAGAUAAAUAUCAUCCACUUUCAUAACGAGGGGUAUAUCGACUCUAAAUGACAAAGUUGAAAAGUGUAUUAGACCCUUUUCUCAAUUAAAAAUAACCAACUUAUGGUUGAUUUCGGAUUAUAAGAACUUGAGUUAUAAGCACUUUUUGUAUUUUUUCAAUUAUAUGAUAAGCUUAAAAAUAUGCUUAUGAACUAAUUUGAACCACUUAGAAACUUAACCUAAUAGCUUAUUGGGUACUACAUAUAAUCUUUUUUCUCUAUUAAUGGUGCAUAGUUACAUGCACACACCUAAUUAUAUAUGUAUAGGCUUAAAGCCAAAAAAAUAUUUAAAAAUAUAUGUAUAGGCAUAAAAAAAAAUACGAAAUUUAUAGUCCAAAGUUUAGACAUAUCGAAUUGCCCAACUAUAAAAGGGCAGAGCUACUCAUGUAAUGAUAAACCACAUACUUAUUAUUAUAAUAAACUUUGUGAUAUAUAUCAUAGAAGAAAAAUGAGUCUUCAAGGGAAGUUGAUUUCUGAGAUAAAUAUCAAAUGUAAUGGAGAUGUGUUUCAUGAAAUAAUUAAGUACAAACCACGUGAUAUCUUUAGUAUAUGCUCUGAUAAGAUACAAAAUAUGGAUAUUCAUGAAGGUGAAUUAGGCAAUAUUGGCUCUGUUAAAUCCUGGAAAUUCACCUAUGGUAAAUUUAGUUUCAAUAUUUAUUUUUGUAGGGUUUAUAGAAAUCACACGUCAGUCAGUUGUAUUGGACAUAUUUCUUUGACUUGUUGUUCCCAUCGUCAACUUCAUUUUUCUUCAACAGAGUCAUUAAUUUUUCUUGUUCAAAUUGUAAGUAAGCUAAAGGAGAUCAUUUUUUUUCGAAAAAAGUUUAGACAUUAUCCGGCCAUUAUUUUUAUUAAUUCAAACCAUUUUUAACCCAUUCAGAUUCAAUCGAAAUUAGUAGUAUGUAAUAUUUAGUACAUGAUUUGUUUGCAGGUGGGAAAGAGAUUUUUGUAAAGGAAGUAAUUGAAGAAAUAGAUGAUGAAAAGAAGUUGAUUAAAAAGAAGGUAAUUGAAGGUGAUUUAUUGGAGUAUUAUAAAUCAUUUUAUGGCACUAUUCAAGUUGAGACAAAGGGUGAAAACAACUUAGUUACUUGGAUCAUGGAAUAUGAAAAGAAGAAUGUGAAUGUACCAGAUCCACACUAUUUAAUGGAAUUUUGCCUUGGUGCCACUAAAGAUAUUGGACUCACAAUCUCAAGUGAUACAUAAUAAUAAUAAUUAUUAUUAUUAUGAAUGUACUUGGAAUAAAAGGAUGAGUCGAUGGACAUUGCUAAGCAAAAAUAAAAGUUUCGAAACUAAUUUUAUUUAAUUCCAUAUAUGUAUGCAAGUCUGUAAAAUCGAUAAUAAUGUAUCGAAUAAAAUCUCCGAAAUGUAACAAUGGAUUGCUUGUUAGUCCAUUUCUAUGAUGCAUACAUUCAACAGUCAAUAAGAGAUUUCAAUGCAAAUGAAUGCACUACAAAAGUCUAGAUGACUCAUGAUCGCUAAAUCUCUAGUAACUAAUAAUAUUUUUAUUUUGAGAAAAUGGCCAAAAGCCCCUCAAGCUAUUAUAGAAUUUUUAGCUACACGUCUAUUUUUUUGGGGGUCUUAUCACCCUCUGAAUCUUUUAAAAGUGAAGUAUCUAGCCCUCUACAAACUCACGCAUAGAUUUGUAUUAGGCAGUAGUCAAUACGCAUUGCCACGCAAUACAUCCAUUUUUUAUAUAAGAAAAAAAUAACUAUUCUCUUACCGUUUACUUUUUUUAUUUUAUAUUUUCGUCUUCUUCUUUCUCUUUCUUUUCCAUUCUUCUAUUUCUUUUUCUUUGAAAGCUUCUGCAGAUUUGAUGACUACUGCAUCUUCGACCUUCAUCGGAAUUUUAAACACCAAGAAUUAUCGUUCUUUAAAGCUAGAGACAAAAGAAAAAUUCUAUCCCUGAAAAAUUGCUUCUUCUUUCGCUAUUAUAUCAUUUUCUCAAAGAAUGAUAUGAGAAACUCAAUUGAUGUUUGGAACAAUUUCAAUAAGUGGGUCUUCUUCGUCAAAGGUUCUGUUACCAAAUGAUUCCUUUAAUAGAUUCUUCUCCAUUAAUUGAAUCUAUUACUUUAUGAAAUCCUUCAUUAAUGACUAGUCUAAAUUUUGAUUCUUUUAACUUUCAAUUUUGAUAUUGAUUCUGAGCAACCAACAAAUUACAAAGUUUUGAAAACUGGAGAUAUGAUUAAAAGUAUGUGAUUUGAAGAUGAGACUUAAUGAUGAAAAAUUGAGGAGGGUGGUGACCUGGUGGUCGAGGUGAGCCACCAUUAUCUAUGGAUUUGAUGAAGAUUAAGGGAGAAUUCGCAUGUAUCUCUCUAGACUGUGAUCGAAAUUUCAGAGACACCUUAAUUAAACUAAGGUCCUAUUACCCCUAAACUUUUUUUAAAAAAAUUUUAUACAUUUUUUGUCUUGUGGCAUACUAUGUGACUCCACGCAAUUGAAGCGCGUGAGAGAUAUUUCAAUUGAAGCGCGUGGGAGAUAUUUGAAUGUCACGUAAGCCAAAAGGUGCACAAAAUUACAAAAAAUAAGUUUAGGGGAGGCAAUAAGACCUUAGUUUGGUUAAGGUGUGUCUCUGGGAUUUUGGUCAUAGCCUAAGGGGGUACUUGUGUAUUUUUUCGAAGAUUAAAGGGAAAAGACAAAGAUGAUAAAAAAAAAAUAACACGAGACUAACUUUUUUAAAAACAAAAAUAGAAUAUUAAUAUGAUUUAAAUUAAAUAUUUAUAAAGUUAAUAUUUUAAUUAUCUUUUUACCUUUCACUCUCCUCGAGAGAGUGAACUACACCUCCUUUGCCACACCAACAUUUAAAGAACAAAUAAUUCCGCUUUAAAAUAGUCCAAGAGGAUAAUAAAACACCCGUAAAGUGUGUAUAAUGUAAUUGAAAAUCCAGCUUAUAAAUUGAGAAAGCUUUUGAUCACUCUUUUAUUUUGAUACUCAUAGCUAGAUAGAAUUAGCCAUGAGUUGUGCUAUUUGGCUACAGAAUAUAUUUUUCUGUCAACAAUUUCCUAUUUUUAGUAGUGAUAACGAUUUACAAAUUGACUAAGGUGAAAAGCCACCUCAAGGAUUUGAAAUUUUCAGAGUACAAAAAUGAUGUGUAUUAUGCCACUAGAAACAUAAGAACAUUAUAUUAGUGAACCUAAUUAUUGUUGUAUAUUAUCUUGGGGUCGCUAAAGAAAUUCGUAAACUUCAUAUUUUGAAUAUACUUGUGGCUAGUAUCUCUCAACAAAUGACGAGAGAUUAAUAUGGUGAAAACAGAAUAUUAUUAAACUCGUAAAUAAAGAUAAUUUAAUUAAAAUACUCUUUCAGUUAACAUUUUCUUAAGGAACGUGUAAUGAGAGCGUGACAAACAUAAUAGAACGGAGGGGUACAAUAACAUACACAGUAUAGUCUCAUAAGUAAGGUCUAAAAAAUGGAAGUAUUUUUUGUUACCUAAAACUUUCAUUAUUUAAUAAAAGUAAAAUUAAAUAAAAAAAAAACAUUUAAUAUCUUAUUGAUUACGUCAAACUCUUCUUAUUUUGAAAAAAGGAAUUAGUUCUUAAAUCGCAUUUCACAAAUCUAUUCUCAUAUGCUAAAACUACAUUUUAAAUGAUGACUAAUGAAAAAUGAAAGGUAUUUUGUUUGUUUUUUUUCCUUUCUUUUAUCACUAAUCAAUGCUAUUCUUAUUUAUUUUGAAAUGAAUUGUAUAUCUUCAUUUCUAAUAAGAUCAAAAUCAAAUAAUUCCCUUUUUUUUUCAAUUUUUUGUGAGUAGUAAUCGUCAUUUAUGAAGAAUCAUGAUAAAAAUAGAAUGAAUUAGUUCUGCAAGCCACUUAACAAAAACAACAAAACAAAUUAGCGUGAUAUAUAAACGUUUUGUUUUGAUUUGACCAUUAUAUUCAAUAUUUGUUUAACUUUAAACAAUUUUAAAUGUCUACUUGUGCGCAACCAAAGUUGAAAGGCAUAAAUGUUAACUAAGGCAAAGUUAAAGCGAAUAUUUAUGUAUUAUCCCUAUUAAAUUCUUACCAGGUACAAUUAUUAUGAAUUCUUAUUGUGACUAGUAAUGUGGAUUGUGAACUAGCCAUUUUUUGUGCCAAAAGACUAAAACACAUGCACCUCGACUGAUUUUACGGAAUAUCUAUUAUUUAUCACCAGCAACACAUACUAAAUAACUAUGUUCCUCAAGGAUAAAAUUAGUAAGUAAUUAUGAGAUAUCAUUUCUAUGAUCUAAUUUAUUCAAUGUACCCCUUAAUAUAGCCAGCAAAAAAUGUAUCCAACAUAUUCCCUUUUCAGCCAUUUAACCUUUUGAUAUCUUGGCUAGCAUAUAACCAUCAAAAUACAAAUUUCUUUUGUUUAUAAAGUCAAUCACUACAUCAAAAAUGAUCUUUAAAGACAAUUAAUUUAGAAGUUCGGGCUUUGAUAGAAUUGGUAGCUCGAUUUUUGGAAUUUCAAGGAAUUCAGGCUUUGGUAAAGUUGAGAUCUUCGAGAGUUGUGGCAAUUCAGGCUUAGGAAGCUCGGAAAUUGUUACUUCAAGAAGAUCGCGUGCUUCUGCUUAUAUUUCAUAGCAAUAUGUUAUAUGUGAAUGUUGAAAAUAGGAAUUGAGAAUUAAGUUUUGGUUGUGAUAAUUGGUAGGAAAAAUUGUUUGUUAGGUCAUCUUCUCAACAAUAAUAAUUUCCUAAUUUUAAUUUAAUACAAACUUUCCAUGUACAUAUUUUAUGUAAUAAAUAUUGGCAAUCUAAACAGAUAUUGUACCAAUUCAAAGUAGUAGGUCACCAUUUCCAAUAAUGCAUAUAUAUACUUCUUGUACACCUACUCUUGUUUGUUUCAUUUUUCUUGAUCUGUAUAUUAAAAAUAAAUCUUAUUUUAGCAAACUAAUAAAGCUUUUAUCAUUUUUUGAUAUAUUAGCUUUAAUAUUGAAUAACUAUAUAAAGUAAUAGCAGUCAAAUUUAGAGUUUCAAAGCAUCAUUCGUAAUGUUUGUUUAGUAAAAAUACAUUUCUAAUUAAAGUUUUCUUAAAAAUAAGCAGAUCAACAUGAGUCAAGUAAUAUAAAACAAUGUGAAUAGUUAGUUAUUGGUUCAAAAUAGUUGUUAUUUCGAUUUUUAAGAUAUAAAUAAUUAUUUAUUAUUCAAUAAAUGUGGAGAGAUUAGUAUCAUAAAAAGCAGAAUAAUAUUAUUAAAUUAAAGAUCAAAUAAUAAAUAAUGAUAAUUUAAUCAAAUUACUUCUUUAGUCAAUAUUUUCUUGAGAAAUGGGUAAAGAAAAACGUGACAAAUAAAAUGAAUCACAGGGGUAUAAUAACAUAUACAAGUAAGGUCUAAUAAAUGCUCUAUUUAUUUAUUUGGAAAUGAAAUGUAAAUCUUCAUUUCUAUUUUUAUCAAAAUAGUUCAAUUUUUUCCAUUUUGUUGUUAUUUGUACUUAACAUUCAUGAAGAAUUGUGAUAAAUUACACCAUAUUAAAUUGGCAUAAUAUAUAAAUGUGUCUUUUAAUUUGACGUUAUUUAUAUUUAUGAAGAAGUAGGCACUUACUUAGACUUGUAUAAAGUUGAACAAGUAAACACACACGUCCUACAUGGCAAUUCAGAAUCCUAUGUGCAUUCUAUUUGUAUUAUGUCACGUAUGACAUGUGUGUCUACUUGUUCAACUUUAUAAAAAUUUAAACGUCUACUUGUAUCUCACAAUUAAAGUUGAAAGGCAUAGAUGUCUAGUUCAUACUAAGCACAUAUUUAUAUAUUAUGCCUAUUAAAUUUUUACUAGGUACAACUUCUGAAUUUCUAUUGUGACUAGGAUGUGGAUUGUGAACUAGCCAUUUUUUGUGCCAAAAGACUUAAACACAUGACAAGUAAUGGGACAUAAUGCCUUGUCUCCUAAAAAAAAGCCAUGUGAAUAGGAGUGCUCAAGGGACAUGUCCACCCCUUUACGUCAGGCCAAUUUCGGCGCACCUCGACUAAUUUUACAUAAUAUCUAUUAUCUCCUACCAGCAAUACAUACUAAGUAACUAUGUAUAUCAAGGCUAGAACAGAUAGAAAGAUCACCUAGUGUUUUUCAAACCUGAUACAUCAUGAUUCUUAACUCAUUUCGUUGACCAUUACGCCACAACCUUGACCGCUAUAGAUACGAAUAUACUUUCUUACUUUACUACAAGCCCAAAUAAGAAAAGAAGCAUAAGCUCUUCAAAAGAGGUAGUAACAAUCAAUCAAUAUCUAUUUUAACUUGAAUAUAACAAGUAGGGCUUGACAGUGACUCCAAGCUUUAUUCGAACGACUGAUUUCAACAGACUACAAAGCUAAAGAACUGAUAAAACGUUUAAUUUCUCAUUACGAAAACACCAAGAAGAUCAAACAUAGAGACAUGAAAAAAGAAUAGAAAAAAAACAACAAGAAUUAUAGAUUACUUCAUGUCGACUCUGUGAAUUCAGUAUGAAACUAUCUUGCGACUGAGUGAUUUAUUGAACCAUGCCUUCCAACUUCCAGAUCCCUUCCGAGCCAUAACUACUUGUUUCCCAUCAAGAAUUCGCUGUUGUUUCCCAUUAAGAAUUGGAUUCUCGGACUGCGGCUUUUUGACCAGCACAAAGUUACGAACACCAAGUGAUCCAAUUGUCUCCCAUGGACUCAAAUCUGAAAUAACAACUCAAAUGUAAGCAAAAACACACAUCACCACAAAAUGAUAAGGUUUACGCCUACCAAAUCUUUUUAAGAUAUAGUAGGAACAAACAGCAUAAAGUCACAACCAACAUAACUCUACAAUGUCACACAUGAAAAUCAUCGUAGCCAACAAGCGCAAUACAAAGAUAAAAUACUUUGCAGCAAGUUUAGGGAUAGCAGUGAGGCUGGACGAGGGGGGGCAAGUUGAAGACGUAGUCGACAGGUGUGGGACAUUUCUUUUCAACAUUCUCAAGUCCUUAUAUACAUGAUUAACUGAUCAAUCAUACAAGUAAACAGAAUAAGACAUCGAUCAAUAUACAAAAGCAGAAUUGGAAACGCUGAAAACUACGCAAAAACAUAUUUAACAUGGCAAUAAACAAGUAAACUGAAUAAGACAUCGAUCAAUAUACGGAAGCAGAAUUGGAAACGAUGAAAACUACGCAAAAACAUAUUUAACAUGGCAAUAAACAAGUAAACAGAAUAAGACAUUGAUCAAUAUACGAAAGCAGAAUUGGAAACGAUGAAAGGUAAACAAAAACAUAUUCAACAUGGCAAUGUACAAGUAAACUGAAUAAGAUAUCGAUCAAUAUACGAAAGCAGAAUUGUACACGAUGAAAGGUAAGCAAAAACAUAUUUAACAUGGCAAUAAGAAGCAAAUUUAAGCUAAAAACCACGCCACGACAAAGCUUAUAAAGCUUCAUUUCCCCUGCUCUGCCAUGCCCCGACCUGUUAACUCGAGUAAUAUCACAACAAAUCAAUCUCAGCUAAGCAAAUCAAAACACAUUUCUCAAAAAACACAACUAAGCAACGAAAUAUAUAGAAUUACAAUACUAUCAAUACCUUCUGUUACCGCGGUUGGGCAAUAGAGCACAAAAUUAUUAAAAUUUGAUCCAAGAACAGGGAGUCUCUCCUCACGAGCAUAAUUUUUCAACGCGAUAUCGAUAACAUCAGCCACAAGCUCCUUUUCAUUAACAACAAAACGAAUCGGCCCAGCACUCCCAACAACAGUUAUACUAAUCAACAACCGAUUCCCUUUCCCAGCCUGAAUCUUCUUCGUCUUAUAAAGCACCAUCUUGUUAAUUACACUCAAAUUCGUUACAAAUAAACAAAAAUAAUAACAGUUUCAAUCUAUAAGGCCUACGAAGCCACGAAAACAGAGUUUCUCUGGUACGUAGGCCAAAUUAUGUUUACGUAAUGAAUGGUUCAAGGAUCAACACCAAUAGAACGAUAAUACCAACCUUCUUUACAAGAUGCAAAGCAAAAUGAAGAAGAAAUUGAAAUCUCCCUUAUUGGAGAUGAUAAAGAAGUAAUCAUCAACAAAUUCUUGAAAAUUUCCACCAUCAAAAACGAAAAUUUGUAACAAAAGAGAUCAAAUCUCAAGAAGAUGAAGGAAAUUUAUAGGUUUUUUUUUUUAGGGUUAGGGAUUUAACAAAUUUUGGGGAUUUUGUAUUUUUGGAAGAGAGAGGUGAUUAACUCGGAUCCUUUACCGUAAGACCCGGGUUCGUUUGUUUUUUAAUUUAACCACUUGUCCUUAUUUUUCUCUUUUUCAAGUCAUUAAAAUAGUAUGGUACAAUCCGCGCACGGAGCGCGGACGUUACUAUAUCAAUUUAUUUACGAUAGAAGUGAAUUUCGAUAUAAGACUAUCAAACGAAAAAAAAAAAGGAUAGAAGUUAAAAUUUAAUGAAAAAUAUCACAUCGCUAAAUAAAUA